UAAAUCUCUCUUUUGUGGUAUUUCUGGAUCCUUACCAAGGUAGUGAUGGUAUAUGCCUUCUCUCAAGAUAUGUGGUAUUUGUGGUAUAAGGCAUAGUGACAUUGCCUUCUCUCUCACCCUACUCUAAUAAGGCUUUAAUAUCUGGAGCUCAUAGGUGGGAGAUAAAGUAUACAUACUUACAAGACAUUUAUUGUAUAGUCAAACCAUGGAUCCAAAGAAACAAAUCAAUAAGCCAAAUCAAGAUGUGCAUGUGUGGCGAAUGAAUGGUGUAUGGUGAUGAUGGUAAUAACAAUGGUGAAAGUCUAAUUCUACUUUUGCUCUUUUGAGGGGAUACAUACCUUUCUUGCACUUUGAAGCUUUUUGGGGAGAAUGAGAUGCUCUAUAUUUUUCUUUCCUCUCAGGUAGGUAUCUUGUACCCCUAAUUCUACUGUUGGACACUUGUCCAUUUUUACCUCUUGUCUCACUUUUUCUUUCUUUCGAGGUUCCGGGCACUUGUCCCUUUUUAUUUCCUCGUAUAUAUAUAUAUAUAUUUUAUCUUUCUUCCUUUUUUUUAGAGCACUCAUCUCUUGAGAUAAUAUAGCAAGUGGUAGUAACCAAAAUAUUUGGAGCAUUUAUUUUACAGGGGAUAACAGGGAUAGGAAAAUGUUUUUGACUAUUCUCUCCCGGAUUAGGAGUAGAAUAUUUUUGGGUGAUUCUGGAGAUGGAAAUGGAUGGAUAUAUGUGGAUGGUACUUCCGGAGUAGAAGCAGCAUAUAUGAGUGAACGUGCAAGUGAAUCUUGAUUUAACCACAUGACAAGCUCCUAAGGGUCUACACAGCUUGACCACACUCAAUGCUCAUAAGCAGUAAAUACUAAAUGUGUGGCUCAAAGUCUAGCAAGCAUGUAUAUAUGGCUGUGGUAGGAAUUUAAACUCUCAUCAUACAGGAACUCAUCAUGCAAUAUUUUAAAGAUUUUUCAAGAUAAAAUUUUCCAGAAUUCUAGCAUCUCUAGGAACAGAUAAACAGCAGCUCAACCUUCCCAUAUCAUAUCCGUUAACAUCUUGGAUUUCAGAUCAAGUUUUCAUCCCACAAGUUUAGAUCUAGAGCAAGCUUUAAAUUAUAACAGUUAUGUCUAAACUUGAGAGGGAACUUCAAAAUUGCAAAUUAGGCAGAGCAACUAUAUCCAUGCUAGAGUUUUAUUAUUAAGAUUCAGAUUUGCAUAGCCACUUUAUUUAUUUAUUAAACAUACUAAGCAAAAGAUAUAUAUAAGCACAAAAUCUUUAUUUUGUUUUUUUUGUAGUUAUGUAUAUUUAUAUUCUAAUAUAAUAUAAGUAUAAAGAUAGGUAGAAAUACUUAGCGAGAUAAAUGGGGGUGCUCUCCCCCAAGCUGAAUUUUGACGUAAUUUCUCCUGAUGUAGCUAGCAGGUGGCAGAGGUGUAUUUGAAAGUCAGCAGCAUUCUGACAGCGAUUAGAAUGUCCUCCGUCUGCUAGUCUUCUUGAUUCUUAAAUUUUACGGAGCUCAAAUAGACAACAAAGCUUGUGGAACUAAGUGUUAGCAUAAAUAUCUAGCCUUCAUCAUGUUGAGCUUCCUUAAUAAAUGUUAUUUAUUUAGCAGGAUCAUACACUUAUUAUUAUAUAUAUAUAUAUUUUUAUAUAUAUAUUUUUAUUAUAAGAUGAAAACUUAUUUAUUUUAUUUUUAUGCCACCACAGUGAAUGUACUUAUGGGUUUUAUGCCAUGAGCAUACUCACAUGGGGCUUACUAUUUUUUAACAUUUUUAUUUUCUUCUCAAGAUAGCAUGAACCUGAUUAACUAAGCAAAUUAUAAUUGAAUAAUUGAAAGGAAAGGGUAACUACCAAGUUUACCUCUUGGCAAGGCGUUAGGUAUUUUUAUGUCCUCCGAACGGGACUCUAUGUUUUCUCAGUCGUCCUGGGAUUCGCUAGGUGGCGUAGUCGGUGAUUCCGGCGGCGCCUCUCUUCAUGUAUAACUAUCUUCUCCCUCCACACCUGACUCGGUGCUACGGUCUCCUCAGGACAGUUCUGUUCACGCUGUAUGUCUUCAGUCCUUGUCACUUCUCCUUCGUAGUCUACCCAUCCGUUCUUGAUGAUUUGCCUCCUCUGGUUGCGGUUGCGUCGUCUUCUUGUCCUGACCUGCUUAGAUUCUUCAACUAUAUAGUUAUGGUUAGUAAAAUAGUUGCGUACCUUCUUAGAGGGGAAGUACAUGUGGACUUCUCCGGUUCCAAUGUAGAUGAUUGCUUUGAUAGUGUUGAGGAACGAUCUUCCAAGGAUGGUGGGUGGAUCAUAUUCGUCUUCUCCCAUGUCAAUGACCUGAAAAUCAUCUGGAGCUGAAUAUAUUGGUUGUAGGGGCAUGGUUCCAUGCAGGAGCUGAUAAGUGACUGCGGCCAUUAUGUUGUCGUCAGAUCCAGUGUCGUAGAGUGUCUUCUGAAAAGAGUAUCCAUUGAUUGCGCACUCGAUGCUUGGAACACCAGGGUCGUCCUUCUUGAUCAAGAAAGGUGACUUGAGUCGACGAUGUUGACCUCUUCCGACAAGGAUCCAAUGUUUUAAGUCUUCUGGAUAAGACUUUCCACCAUCUUCAUCCUUUAGGUGCAUCAUUUGAUUAGGUGUGGACCUUGACGUCUGCACCUCUUGAUACGGUGUCACCCAUGUUCUUCUUUGCCCAGCAGUUCGAAGUAUGGUGUUGGCAAUAUUCUGCUUAGUGUGUUUGUGCUCAUAGAUCCAGGUCCUUCACUUGGUGGAGUCUAGGAGUUGUAAAACUCCUCCAUGUUUUGCUUGAAGUGUACCUGUUCAUAGAGACAAGGCAGAGAUCAAGUGCAUGGGCUCUGUUGGUGGAAGACACCAACAGAACCAAAAGUGUAUUUGUUCUUCUCUAACCUUAAGCAUAGUGAGCAAGACAAAGUUGAUGGAUAAUAAGAUAAUGAGUGUAGUAUUUGAAACAUUUGUCAGAUCAGAUGGCUCAACCUAAUGGAAAGAUAAUCUAUCUAUAUUUAUGUUUUGUUUAUAUCAAAUAUUGAAUGUGCAACAUAUUAGCUUAUAUGUUUAGGAGCGUGGGAUCACGAAGGUAGUACUAAGAACAAAGAUUAAAGCACUAAACAUGUUGAAUUGAUUGAGUUGGUUAAUCUGGAGUUAUAAAGCAUACAUGUUUGUCUCUUUAUUUAUGUGAAUGCUAGAACCAAGGAGAAGCUUAUAAAAGCGAUAGUCAAGUACCUUAAGGUGUUACCUUACUUGAAGAGUGACGGUACAGUAUCACCUUGUGGAAGCUUUCCUUUCUUAGCGGUUGUGCACCGUGUUUGUGGCACUCUUUGUCUCGUUCCAUGGAUCAUCUCUCUAUGAUGAAUGAGCUAUGUCUUCUUUGUGCAAAUCGUUAAACUUCAUGUGUCUCCUUUGUCUCCAAUGUGAGUUUGUAUCUCAGGACUUCCCAGGUUGAUAUUGAAAGUUUUCUGCAGGGGUUAGUCCGACAAAAUAUCCCAUAUCUACUAUAGCAUACUAUCGGCUUAAAAAUCAACCUAGACACCAUGUCUAAUUUGAUUUAGAAGGGCAUUUUAACCUAAGCACCAUGCUUAAUUUAAAACCCCUUGGAAGUAAGAUCAUCAUUCCUAAACUAAGCACCAUGCUUAAUUAAGAGAUAAAUGAAACUAUUCCAAACCUAGACAUAUACUAAAGCAAAUAAAGGUAGCAUGAGAGCAUUUAUAGAGAUCUACUUAAGUGGAGAUGAAGUAGUGUAAUUAGUAUUUAACAAAUUGAGCAUGUCUCAAAGGUAAGGACAACCAACGUAGCAACAUGGCAAAAGAUGUUUUUAUGUAAAGUACUCCCCCAAGCUUGAAUUUUACAAAAUUCAAGUUUGGAUGUAUUUAAUUCAAUGUUGUGUGAUGGUUGGUUGGACAUACCCUGUGCUUGUCAUUCAUCCGAUCUUCUUGCUCCAAUCCUGGAAAGGUUAGUGACAAGAAUACCCGAAGUAAUAUUUCUACAAUUAUCUUUAUAUGCUCAAUACACAAAGUAAUGUUGCAAAUAAUUAGAAGUUCAUGUUAUGAUCUGAUAAGUGCUUGUUUUAGGACACUAAGCUUGUUCUUGGGAAACCAUCAAGUUAUGUUGGUGAAGUGGUUUCCCCUCCAACACCUACCUAUAUCAAGAUCAACUCAAUGAGAUCUGCAAUAUUUAUUAUAGACAUAUGCAUCGACAACCGCCCUUUUAAAGUUUUUAUAAAUGAAGAGGAAGAGGGGGUUGGAGAUCUCAAAUGUGGUAAGGAUGGAGAGACAAAUUGAUUGGAGAGAUGUUUUAUAUGAGCAAGGACUGGGUGAGGUAUUUAUGAAAUAACUUCCAUGCUCACUGUUGUUUCUCUCAUUCUUAAACUCCAAGGAUGAUUCUUCAUGAAUGCUUAAAAUUCCUCUAGGAUUGUCUCUCAAGUUUGUUUUAUCUAUCCAUUCAAUGGUGAUAGCCCAUGGAUUUUUAAUGCCCUCUAGCCAUUGAUGUUGCUCUUCUCGAUCCUCCUUCUUAUGCAUGGGAUGUCUAGAGAGAUUCAUAGGAUUAUUGGGAGGUUCAAGAGAAAAAGCAUAGUAGAAAUUAUUAAGCUCAAGGAUGGGAUGGAUAGCCGAAUUAUGGGAUUGAAAUGUUUGGAAAUCGGCUAUUGAAACUUCCUUUCCUCGUCUGGGAGAUGAUUCCUUCUCUAUCUCUAAGAUUAUUCUAUGAAGACUAGUACAAGAAGGAUGUCCACGAAUGAAGACAUACCUUCCUUUACUAAUAGAUAAAGAAAGAAGGACUCUACCAAAGGUUAUAUGAUUAAGACCAAUGUGAAAAUAUCUAGGAAAAACAUGGUCUUGUAGGGCUAGGUCUAAACCAGAAUUUAUAGAAAGAUUAACAGAUUCCCUAGGUGUGGCUAAAAGUGCAUUAUCUUCUUGAUUAAAAGAUAGGACCUCAGCUAUAGAAAAGGGUUGGUUUUGACCUAUUGCAAUCAACUCCGGACACAGAUCAUAAUUAGGGGCAGGACGUGUUGACUCCCAUGGUCUAUGGCUGGUCUCCGAAGGUUUAAAGAAUUUAAUAAUAGGUAUGGAAUUUGAGUUAUCCAUAAAGAUAAAAAUAAAAAGAUAAAAGAAUAAAAGUAUAAAAGUAUAAUACAAGAUAAUAUCAAGAAUCAAAGUUAUCUCAGCAAACCGUCUUUCUCCCCGGCAACGGCGCCAGAAAUGCUUGUUGAUAUUUGGUAACGCAAUAAGGAAAUGAUCCGCAAGCGCAUGGAUAUUGGUGAGCAUUUCACCCGGGAGGUUAUCCAGAGUUAUCGUAUUUAUAUUUUUACCACUGGGAGAAAGGGUGCAUCUGACUAACCAAAUCUAUUGCUACUAUCCCUUUAGGCACAAAGAAUGUCUUUCGAUGUGAGUGAUAAAUAGAGAAGACUGCAACCGUAGUCUCCUUCUAACCUUGGUAAGGAUGAUCUACUGUUCUAAUGGGGAGGCUAACGGAAUCUAGACAACACAAAGGAUGUUCAACCCGCACCUAUAAACCCUAUCCUUCCUGCUAACGAGAUGUGAUCUGCAAAGGUAGCUCGGAAUUGUCACGUUCCUCACUACUACCACGGUCCAGCUAGUCAGGGAAUAUCUAUGAGUACCCCAGCCUAAACACCACGUUUACGCCAGCAAUGAUUACUCUAAACUCUACGCGAAGAGAUUAAAGUAAACUCAUAAACCAUAAGAACAAUAAAACAAGAACUUACUAGAAUUUAGAAGUCGAAUUACUGAAGAAUCCUAGGAGCAAGCUUCGGGUUAGGAGAACUUGAUCCCGCAGGUACAAGCUUGGAGUAGACACCGACAUGCCGGGCUUCCUCCAAUCUACACCUCCACUCUAUCUCUCUCAAUCUAGUAGAAACUAGAAGAUCUAUUUCUACCUUACAUUGGUUGCUAAGCCUAAAAAGAAAUAUUAAUUAGAGAAGAGGUUUUCCUUCGAGGGCACCCCUCAGUCUCUAUGAUAAUUUCUUCAUGUCUUCUCCAGGGGCCAGGGUGGUCUCCUUAUAUAGUCCUCCCCUUCUAUGCGUUUUUGGGUCGGUAGGCAAUGUGGUACUAUGUUAUUCUGGAUCCAAUAGGUCGGUGGAGAUCUCCCGAGAGACAGAGUCCUGAUUGGGCUCGGCAGGUGGGCGGGCGCCCAAGGAAACUGGGUGGGCGCCCAGGUCCUGGCCCCGUUUCGCCUCCGCUUCGGUCUCGUGGCUUCUGGAGUCUUCUAGGUGGUAGAAAAUUGCGCGGUGCGUUGAUAUCUCUAUGUAAUCCUGACAUGUGGGCCUUUCUUCCUUAUUUCCUGAUAACCCCCUGCAGAAAUAGAGAAACACCAAAACUCAUGGAAUUCUGUCAGAUAAAACCCUAAGUCUGGGUGUUGGUUAUAUUUGGAUCCUUUUCUUUAUUUAUUUGAUAAUUAAAUUUGAUACUUAAGGACUGUCAACAACUAUGCUCUUUUUCUUGAACCUCCCGAUGAUCUUAUGAAUCUCUCUAGACAUCCCAUCCAUAAGAGUCACCAAGACCACAAGGAGGAUCGAGAAUAGCAACAUCAAUGGCUAGAGGGCAUUAAAAAUCCAUGUGCUAUCACCAUUGAAUGGAUGGAUAAAACAAACUUGAGAGACAAUCCUAAAGGAAUUUUAAGCAUUCAUGAAGAAUCAUCCUUGGAGUUUGAGAAUGAGAGAAACAACAGUGAGCAUGGGAGUUAUUUCAUAAAUACCUCACCAAGUCCUUGCUCAUAUAAAACAUCUCCCGAAUCAAUUGGUCUCUCCAACCUUACAACAUUUGAGAUCUCCAACCCCGUCUUCCUUUCUAUUUAUAAAAACUUUAAAGGCGUGGUUAUCGAUGCAUAUGUCUAUAAUAAAUAUUGCAGAUAUCGUUGAGUCGAUCUUGAUAUAGGCACGCUUAGGUUGGUGUUGGAGGGGAAACCACUUCACCAACAUAAUUUGAUGGUUUCCCAAGGACAAGCUUAGUGUCCUAAAACAAGCACAUAUCAGAUCGUAACAUGAACUUUUAAUUAUUUGCAACAUUGCCUUGUGUAUUGAGCAUAUAAAGAUAAUUGUAGAAAUAUUCCUUCGGGUAUUCGUGUCACUAACCUUUCUAGGAUUGGAGCAAGAAGAUCCGAGGAAUGACAAGCACAAGGUAUGCCGAACCAAUCAUCAUGCAAUAUUGAAUUAAAUUCAUCCAAUCUUAAAUUUUGCAAAAUUCAAGCUUGGGGGAAAUACCUUACAUAAGAACAUCCUUUGCCAUGUUGCUAUGUUGGUUGUCCCUACUUUUGAGGCAUGCUCAAUUUUUUCUAAACACUAAACUUAUUUUUCAUCUCCACCUGAGUAGAUCUCUAUAAAUACUGUCAUGCUACCUUUGUCUAUUCACAAGCAAGUGUUGGUUUGGAAGUACUCGACAUAUUUCCAUUAGCAUUUAAAUUAAGUGUGGUGCUUAGGUUAAAUAGCCUUCCUUAAUCUGAUUAGACAUGGAGUCUAGUUUGGUUACUGAACUAAAAAUUGCUUGAGUAGACAUUGGUAUAUUUUGUCGGACUAACCCCUGCAGAAAACUUUCAAUAUCAACCUAGGAAGUCCUGAGAUACAAACUCACAUUGGAGACAAAGGAGACACAUGAAGUUUAACGAUUUGCACAAAGAAGACAUAGCUCAUUCAUCAUAGAGAGAUGAUCCAUGGAACGAGACAAAGAGUGCCACAAACACGGUGCACAACCGCUAAGAAAGGAAAGCUUCCACAAUGUGAUAUUGUACCAUCACUCUUCAAGUAAGGUAACAUCUUAAGGUACUUGACUAUCACUUUUAUAAGCUCAUUGGUUUUGGCGUUCACAUGAAUAAAGAGACAAACAUAAAUUAACCAACCCAAUUAAUGCAACAUGUUUAGUCCUUUAAUCUUUGUUCUUAGUACUACAUUCGUGAUCCCACACUCCUAAUAAUAUAAGCUAAAAUGUUACACAUUCAAUCUUUGGAAGAUAUAAAAAACAUAAAUAUAGAUAGAUUAUCUUUCCAUUAGGUCGAGCGAUCUGAUCUGACAAAUGUUUUAAAUGCUACACUCAUGAUCUUAUUAUCCAUCAACUUUGUCUUGGUCACUAUGCUUAAAGUUAGAGAAGAACAAAUAUACUUUUGGUUCUGUUGGUGUUUUUCACCAACAGGGCCCAUGCAUUUGAUCUCUGCCUUGUCUCUAUGAGCAGGUACACUUCGAGCAAAACCUGAAGGAGUUUUACAACUCCCAGAUUCCACCAAGUGAAGGACUUGGAUCCACGAGCGCAAACACACUGAGCAGGAUGCUGCCAAUGCCGUACCUCGAACUGCUGAACAAACGAAGAACAUGGGUGACACCGUAUCAAGAGGUGCAGAUGUCAAGGCCCACACCUAAUCAAAUGAUGCACCAAAAGGAUGAACACGGUGAGAAGUUUUGUCCAGAAGACUUAAAACAUUGGAUCCUUGCUGGAAGGUAAAAUCGGUAUUUAUCCAUAUUUAAAUUUUCUCCAUUCCUUUUCCAUUUUAUUCCAUCACUUGCAUUAGCAUAUUUACUUUUCCACAUUAGCAUUAGAAAAGAAAACAAAAAUAUUUGUUCGUUGCACUGCAUCAUAAAACCAGUAAGACCCAUGUGAGUAUACAAGUGGCAUAAAACCCAUAAGAAUAAUAAAAUAAAAAUAUUCUUCUGCUCUAUAAAAAUGAAAAUAUAAAAAUAAAAUUGCGAUCCUACCAAAGAAAGUAGCAUUUAUUGAGGAGGCUCAACAUGAUAAAGGCUAGAUAUUUAUGCUAACAUCUAAUCAGUUCCACAAAGCUUUGUUGUCUAUUUAAGAUCCACAGAAUUCAAGGAUCAAGAAGACUAGCAGACGGAGGACAUUCUAAUCGCUGUCAGGGUGCUGCCGACAUUCAAAUACACCUCCACCACCUGCCAGCUACAUCAGAAGAAAUUAUGUCAAAAUCCAGCUUGGGGGAGAGCACCCCCAUCUAUCCCGCUAAGUAUUUCUAUCCACAUUUAUACUUAUACUAUAUUAAAAUAAAAAAUAUAGAUAACCAUGAAAAACCAAAUAUAUAUAUAUAUAUAUAUAUAUAUAUAUAUAUAUAUAUAUAUAUAUAUAUAUAUAUAUAUAUAUAUAUAUAUAUAUAUAUAUAUAUAUAUAUAUAUAUAUAUAUAUAUAUAUAUAUUAAAUUUUUCCUACUCCCUUAGAGUAGGCUAAACCAAUAUAUAUAUAUAUAUAUAUAUAUAUAUAACUAAUAGCCUGUAGCUAGCUAUAGAAUGAUCUAUUUUGUAGCCGGACCCAAACUGCGGCCACAAACAGGUAACGUCCAGCCCCUCAGAAUCUGAGUUGCAUGCAUGGCUGAUGGCUCAAUUAUUAGCUGAUAAUAAUUCGCCUUCCAAACCGGCCAUGUCCCCUAAAUCACCGCCCAUAAACACCGCAACGCGGUUGUUUAUUUAACUAACCAGAAAACCACCGUGUCACUCUAUUUGCUUCGUCCUCCACCCGGCUAAUCCCGUCUGAAUGGCCGAUGACAACAGUGGCAGGGCCUGGUGCUAUCAUCAUCAACACCGGUGACACCUUCAUAUCAUAGCUCGUUGACUGCUAGGUGCCAUGGUCGACGGUUGUGCUGAUCACCGGCGGGGCAGAUCCACGCAUGGCGGCCUGGCCGAUGUCCGCGUCCGCCCGCUGCUAAAUCAAGGACCAGGCGGAUCUCCUAUUGCAGUUCAGCAUGUGAGCACCACCUCUGGCCAUGCGCGACGGCAGCCCACUCGUGUGAGCGCCCGUGCACGGGAGAUGAGCGACAUCAUCAUCCUUGCUGCCGUCGCUUGUUGUGCCCUUUGUCUCGUCACCAUGGGCGCGUCGCCGACACCUGGCCAAAGCACUAUCGUGGAAGCUGCAGUGGCCCUUCUCACCUUCCUCUUUGCGAUUCGCAGAUCCAUGGUUCUGCAAGGUCAGUCAACGAGCUACGCAAUGCCAUAACAGAAAUUCGGCAUCUGCGUGAAGAUUCAGCAUCCUCCUUGAUUUGUUCUCCUAGCUUCUCCGGUCUCAGCUGGUCACUCGGAUUCAUGCAGAUGCAAAUUCGCUGCCAUCCAUGCUAUUUUUUUUGGUCAAAAUUUCUUGCCGUCAUGCAGAUGCGAUUUAGUUCAUCAUUCUUUACCGGAUCAACAGAUCAACAGUUGCUGUUUGCAAGCUUGCCGCUGGGCAUGGGGGUUAUAUAUAUAUAUAUACUAUUCUACACUCUAGGUGUAGAAUACUAUUCUACACCGAACCAUUAUACUGAACAAAAUUCAGUAUCAUUCAGUAUUCGUGUUUCAGUAUUGUUCAGUAUUUCUUGGUCGUAAGUGUAGUAUGAGAUGAUACUGAAGGUUGUUCAGUACUGCUCAGUAUUUUUUCUAUUCAGUUUUGACUAGGGUGUAGUGUAGAAUGGCGCUACCGUAUAUAUAUAUAUAUAUAUAUAUGAUUUUUCAUAGUUUUGUUUAGCCCCUGAACAAUGUGAAAUGUUACAAUGUGUAAUCCAAAGCCAUGGAAGCUCUAUAUGAUUUAAAACACCUUUUUUUCUCUCAAAUUUUGGAUGCAAAUACAUUUUCUUGAUAUUCCUACAUGUUCCUUGUUGGAUUGUCAACCUCUAACUUGAUUAUUCCUUUGUCAAAAAAAAAAAACUUGAUUAUUCGCUGCAUGUAUGUCCAGACUGUUUUUUUUUUUCGUUGCAUAUGUAUGUCCAGAUUGGUGUCUCUACUGUGUAACUUGUCGAAUACCAACUAUCAUUCACUACCAGACAAUUCAAUAAUUUGCAGAAAUCUCGUAAAUAGAUUAUGUAACUACAUGGUUAGAAAUAUAUUUUAGUAAAUCAAUUUAAAAAUUUCUCGUGAAUCAUGCCACGGGGGUUAGAAAGGAAUAGAUUGUAGCAAAUAUUUUUCAAAAACCUAGUAAAUAGAAUAUCGUAACUACCAGGGGCAGCAAGGCAUAGAUUCUAGUAACCAAUAUGCAAAUUUAGUAAACAGUUUAUGGUGAGGCAACAUAUAUUCUAGUAAAUCAUUUAAAAUAACAAGAUUAUGGUAUUGUGAAUCAGACAGAUUAUUGUAACUACUCAAAUCAUAGUUAAUUACUACAAUGAUCCUUUCCAGUUCUCUAUCGAAUAUUUCAUGGUAAAAUUAAUCUCAUAUAUCAUGUUAAAUUCCAGUUCUACAAAUUCCUAUCCUAAUUAUCAUCUCGAGACAUUCAAAACACAGUAACUAUUUCUAUCGUAAAAUGAUCUAGAUGUUAUAGUAAUCAGUUAACAGAAACCAUUUGAUGUCAAUUUUGUGGUAAAUUUCCGUGCUAAUUGUCGUAACAAGCUAUCAUUUGCAUGCGCCUGGAACAUUUGCGUGCUAAUUAUAGUAACUAGAAUAUAUUUUCUACUUUUUUUUUUGUGGACAAGGUAUGUUGGAGUAUUACCGUAACAAGAAAAUGCAUUUGCACCUAGCCAAAUUAAGCGUGCUAAUUAUAGUAACUUGGAUGCAUGAAGCACUAAUCAUGCUUGUAAUUUGCAUGCAUAUCGCAGGGUUGAAUGACCGAAAUCACCGUGAGCUAAUUACGUGGGCGUCGUUUAAUGCAGGUCGGACCAGGAGGCAGAAGCGCAUUAGCCAUGCAAGCGCCUGGACCCGGCACGUCUGUUCGGACCUGGCUACAAAAUAAAAUGGUCUGUAGCUAGCUAGCUACAGAGUAUACUAUAUAUAUAUAUAUAUAUAUAUAUAUAUAUAUAUAUAUACACACACACGAUGUCCUCUUUGCAGAAGGACGGGCCGUUUCAUGAGCCGCUGCUCCUAUCAACGCAGAUCAGACGUCGAAGUCUCUAACGAGCUUUUUCGGCCAAACCGUCAUGUUCCAAAAGAUGUGAACAGGGAGGACUGUUUGGUGACAGCCCGAGGAGGCGGCGGUGGUGGAUCCAAGGGAGGAGGCGACGGCAUCGGGCACAUGAAUGAAACAGAUAGGAUGGAGAGAGAGAGAUAGAGGGAGGAGAGAGGAAGUCGCGUCGUGGCACUAUAUAGGGCCCUGCCAUGUGGUGGAGGUGGCAUGACAAUGCUAUGCUAAUAUCUAUGGUGCGGCAACGCUGCCACGUCAGCCAAUUUGGGUCUAGGCUCGUGCCAAGUCAUCACCGCGGCCACGCCACACCAUGCAAUAGACACAAACAAAAGUGUUAGAUUUGUAAAUAAAAAAUAGUGUCAAAUUUGGAAAUAGUUUUAAAAAAGGGUUAGAAAUAAAAAUUUUCCAUCUGAGGAUGGCAAUAGUGAGAGUGGUCAACUGAAAUUGUCCUAACAUUGAUUGGCCAUCGAUUAAGAAAAGUUCUAAAUUUACAGGAUACCUAUAAGUUGGAGCCAACCAAUUUGGCUGCCAUUUAUAAGGGCUGGGAUAAGGUAAAAGGAAACUAAUUAAGCCAACAAAGAGUACCUCACAUGGGUUCUAAAUGUGUUAUGCAUUAAUAAAUGGCCUAAAGUGUGGCUAUAAUAAUAUACCUUUAUCCAUGACUUGCUUGUUGGUAGUGAUCGGUUUUUCUUGAUUAUCAUGCAUCGAUACAGGAGUCCUUUUUCUCUAUAUAUAAGGCAAUGUAUGGGUCAAUUAAAAAAAAUUCUAAACUUACAACAUACCUAAGAUAGAACCAACCAUUUUGGCUAGCAUUUAUAAGGGCUGGGAUAAGGGAAAAGGAAACUAAUUAAGCCAACAAAGAGUACCUCACAUUGGUGCUAAAUGUUAUGGAUUAAUAUAUGACCUAAAGGAUGACUAUAACAAUAUAAGUUUAUCCAUGACUUGUUUAUUUGUAGUGAUCAAUUUUUUCCUAAUUAUCAUGCAUCCAUAGAGGAGUCCUUUUCCCCUAUAUAUAGAGGCAAUGUAGGUCGAUUAAGAAAAAAAAAUAAACUUACAAGAUACCUGAGUUAGAACCAACCAAUUUGGUUGACAUUGAUAAUGGCUGGGAUAAGGAUCUAAUUAAGCCAGUAAAGAGUACCUCACACUUUUGCCCUAUAUAUAGGAGCAAUGUAUGGGUCGAUGCAUCUCAUUCCAGUAGAACACAUCUCCCAAGAACAUACAACAAAGUGUUUUGUUCCUUAGAGCAGUCCCUAUGGUUGAAACUACGCACGUUUUUCAUAGUGCCACGUCAACAACAAAUCAUCUAUAGAAACUAUUCCACACAAUGGAAGUUUCUUUCCCUAAUAAAUAUUGUAUUUAUUUUUUGUGUUUCUCUCUCCGUCACAUCAUCUUCUUCCUGGCACUAUGGCAAGUUCGUGCUUAGCCAACGAGAAAAACAUGGACGAGCCUCGCCCGCCCUCCACCUCGCCACGCAGCGCCGCGUCCUUGCACCUAUCAAUGUCAUGGAGCCAAGUCGCGGCUGGAGAGCAGUGGUGCAGGUGAACGAGCGUGACAGUCGGCCGGCGAGCGUGGCGGCGAGGGCAAACGAGCACAGCAGUGCAGGCGAGCAAGCACGCCGAUCGGCAAGCAAGCGCAGCGAUGCGGGCGACGAAGAAACUGCUCGGCACGACAGCAUGCGCGACGGCGUGCGGCCUUCACGGCAGUGGCGGUGGCGGUAGCUUGCUGCAUGGAGGCUCGGCCUUCGCGACAGCGAGCGCAAUAGCAACGCAACCUUCGCGGCGACCUGCAUGGUCUUGCUGCAACAGAUCGGCCUGCUACAUGGACGGGCGAUGGCCUACUGCAUCGAUGGUGCGACCUUCCCCAACGGCGGCAUGCAGCCCUAUCAUGGGCCCCACCAGUAGACACGACUCGUUUCUUCUCAACGGGAAAGUUACGAUUUCUUACUGCAUCGAUUAACGAGUAGACCUGGUUUCUUGGUUAGGAGACGGUUUCCUCAAUUUUUUUUCUCUUUUUUUAUUAAUUAGACUGCCAUGUCAGCUUUUUGCUUAGUUGGCAAGAUAUUUAUUAGGGAUAGAAACUACUAUUAAUAUCCCAUUGUCCCAUUGGGACUGCCCUAAGGGACACAGAAUGCAGAAUGGCGCACUAGUACUACUUUCACUGCUGGUCCUUGGGUGCUUUUCCAUUCAAGUGGCAUGUAAGUGAAAUAAAUCAAAAUGUUUUUUCCUCCAUUAUCUCCUCAUUUAAUUGCUCGAGUAGCUGAUAUUUUUCCUCUACCAUUCAAACAAAAUACAAAUUGCUGAAGACAUAUAUGUUUCUUUCUGUUGUAAUUAAGAUAAACUAAACAAGGGCCCAUUAUAACUAUUGAUUUUAUGCUUAUGACAGAUGUUUCUGUGCUUGUGUAUGUAAUUUAACAGAUUGAUUCACAUUACAUGCUUGAAAAAUAGGUGGAACAACGAUGGAUGAAAUGAGUACCCAGAAAGUUACUAUACAAAAAUGGACGUGCUACCAUGGUGGCAUACUUUGCAAUUCAUUGACUGGGAAGUGCUGGUGCUGCCUCGGGGGUGAAGGUUAUUGCUAUGUGAACAAAAGUGAAUGUGAAGCAAAUUGUCAUGCCAAAUGAACAAUUAAAUCUCCAAAUAAUGCAAUUACUAUGUGAAGAGUGAGCUGUGAAUGAACAAUGGGAAUAAAAUGUUUAGGCUCCGAGUGCUCCAUUUGUCAACGGUUUCUUUUAUUGGCUCAUAUAUCAUGUAUACCAAAUGUGCUUAUUUUGAGUAAUGAUGAGGAGUCCUCGUGCAGCUAUUGUGUUGAAUGUACUCUACCCUAAUUAUUCUGAAACAUUUAAGCCAAUAUAAUGAAAUGCCAAUGCAAUAACACUAAAAAGAAAUUUCGACACUGUCACACCCUAAAAUUUUUAGUUUGGAUCGUGCCUAAAAAAUGAUAAAUAAAAGAAAUGAAGUUUAUAUUUUCUAAAAUUUUCAUUUUGUAAUAUUCUAAUGAGAGUUCAAGCUCUGGUUUAUCAUUGAGCCAUGUCACAAGAAAAGUUUGGUCAUCGUUGGAUCCCUAUGCUAGUUUUGAUCAAACGGACAGAUCAAAACCAGCAUAGGGAUCCAAUGAUGACCAAGCUAUUCUAGUGACAUGACCCAAUGAUAAACCAGAGCUUCAACUCUCAUUGGAAUGUUACAAAAUGAAAAUUUUAGAAAAAUAUAAACUUCAUUUGUUUUAUAUAUGAUAUUUUAGGCACAAUCCAAACUAAAAAUUUUAGGGUGUGACACUAUUGAACUUUCUUUUUAGUGUUAUUGCAUUGGCAUUUCAUUAUAUUGGCUUAAAUGUUUCAGAAUUGGUGGUGGUGGUUGAUGCCCAAACGUGACGGUUUGGCCGAAAAAGCUCGCUAGAGACUUCGACGUCUCAUCUGUGUUGAUAGGAGCAGCGGUUCAUGAAACGAGUUGUACUUCUGGAAAGACGUACUUCUGGAAAGAGGACAUCGAGGAGAACAUUGGCAUAUAUAUAUAUAUAACUAGGGUUGUCAUGGAAAAAUUGAAUAUUUUAUUAUUUACGGAAUUAAUGAAUUUUGAGAUUAAAAUAAUUCUAGGAAAGUUCAGAAUUAAUUUUUAAGCCCCAAAAAAAACUGAAGGGUCCAAAAUUUUGGAAACAAUUCUUAGAAACAUUUUAGAACAUGAGGAGCCCAAAUAAAGUAUUUAGAGCUCAUGAAAAGAUAUCUAGGAGUAUCUCAAAAUUAGAUUAUGCCCGGAGAAAAGCAAGAAAAAAUUCUAGAAAAAAACUAGACAAAUUCGUGAGGAGUUUUUAAAGGACGACUAAUGGAAGAUGCGCUCGCAGAAUUUGUUUAAAGUUGAAUAAGAGGAUAUGAAAACUCCAAAUGAAAAGGCAUGCUUAAUUAACACCCUAAAUUUUGCUCUUUUGGAAAUAUUUAAUGUUUUCAUCACCCUGAAAAGAUUUGUUGAUGAGCAAAAUAUUUAAUUUACUAUACAAUUAAUAAUGUUUAGUGUAUAUGUAAACAGUUUAAAAAUCUAAACCUAAAAAACAGGAUCACAGGCCCUUUAGCACCGGCCCAUGGUUAAAACCGGUGCUAAAGGGUCCUAAAAAAUUUCGGACCCGGUCUGAGCCCACCUAAGAACCCUUUUAGCACCGGUCCGUGGCUGGAACCGGUACUAAAGGGUCCCUUUAGCACCGGCUGGUGGCUCUUGCCGAUGCUAAAGGGUUACCCUUUAACACCGGCGCGUACCACCAGCCGGUGUUAAAGACCCUUUAGCACCGGUUCCAGCUACGGACCGGUGCUAAAAGGUCCGCCCCUAUAUAAGCACACAAGCGUCCUGGAUCCGAACAAUUCAUUCGUCUUCGUCGAGCAGAGCCCUUUGCUGCCGCCUCGUCUCCACCAGCGCCGCCGCCGUUCGUCUUUGUGCCCCGCGGCAUUUGUCUCCAGCGCCGCCACGACCGUCUCCAGCGCCACCGCGGCCAUCUCCGCCACCAGCGCCACCGCAGCGGCCUCCACCAGCGCGCCUUCCACCGAACUCCGGCCCCCUACGUACUAUCGAUCAUCUCCACCGAUAUGCAUAUGGCACAACAGUUUUUUACAUAUAUAUACUAACAAAUAAUGAAUGAAUGUAUGAAUUAUAUGCCAAGCAGUUUAUAUAUAUACACUAAAAAAUACAUGUUAUUAUGAAUUAUAUAUAUAUAUACAAACUUUGGAAUAUGAUUUUAGUGUUAUAUAUAUAUAUAUGAUUCUAAUGUUUUGUAUAUAUUAUUGUUUGUACUAUUAAUCUAGUACCAUUUUUUAGUAUAUUAGUAUUAUUCUAGUAUAUUACUUGGCUUAAAAAAUUCUAGUAUUAUUUUUUAGUUUGGAGCACUCCGAGCACUUUCAUUUGUAGUAGUACUAGUAGUAGUAUAUAAGUCUCUAAUAUAUAUUUUAUUUUUCUAGUGUUUUGUAUAUAUUAUUAUUUGUACUAUUAUUUUAGUAUUAUUUUUUAGUAUAUUAUCCUAGUAUUAUUCUAGUAUAUUACUUGGCUUAAAAGAUUCUAGUAUUAUUUUUUAGUUUAGAGAACUCCACCACUUUCGUUUGUAGUAGUACUACUAGUAGUAUAUAAGUCUGUAAUAUAUAUUUUAUUUUCUAGUGUUUUGUAUAUAUUAUUGUUUGUACUAUUAUUCUAGUAUUAUUGUUUUCUUAUCUUAUAUAGUGCUUUUAUAUAUAUAUAUAUAUAUUAUAUAUAUAUAUAUAUAUAUAUAUAUAUAUAUAUAUAUAUAUAUAUAUAUAUAUAUAUAUAUAUAUAUAUAUAUAUAUAUAUAUAUAUAUAUAUAUAUAUAUAUAUAUAUAUNNNNNNNNNNNNNNNNNNNNNNNNNNNNNNNNNNNNNNNNNNNNNNNNNNNNNNNNNNNNNNNNNNNNNNNNNNNNNNNNNNNNNNNNNNNNNNNNNNNNUUAUAUGGAAGAUGCCAUGAGAAAUAUGAUCGACGACAGUAGUCGGUACUUUGCUUAUUACAACGAGCUCAUGCAGGACAAUCCGACUAAGCAACAAGAGGGCAAUGCACCUGAGCAACAACUCGUCGUGCAACAAGAAGGAAAUACCGGCGAGGUAUGUAAAUGUAAACAUAUAUAAUGCAUAUCUUAUAUUAGAUUUUAGACUUACUUGGUUAUUAAUUUAGUAUUUUUGUUUCUAUAUCUACGUGUAGCCCUCUAGAUCGACCUCUACGGGGAGAAGCCUACCUCCACGAGAGCCAAAGAAGCCGUUGGAGGGCUGCUACGUAAUCUCCGAGUUUGAGACAGCUAUAGGUAGACCACUUGGUGAACAUGCAACUAAAUAUGUCGGUCACUAUGGUUACCUUGUGAGAGACCAAAUACUGAUCAGUGCUCGUGAAUGGAGAGAGAAGCGAGGUGCUCCUGAAAUUAGUUUUAUCUCUGAUCGUGACAAGGAGUUAGUUUGGAAAGCCGUCACGGCGGUUUUCUCCUUCGACACCAACGAUGAAGAGUUGAAGGCACGAAUUUAUGAUUGGACUAUGAAGAAGAUGGCUGUACUGUUCCAUAAUUGGAAGAAGACUUUGUACAAUAAAUUUGUAAAGAAAAAUGAGACCCUAAAUUUUAACCUCAAGCAAUAUGUAAAGCUGAGGGCCUUCUAGGAUGACUUCGUGCAGUACAAAAUAUCAGAAGAGGGCGAGGAACGAGCCAUUAGAAGCUAAGAGAAUGCAAGUAAAAAGACAUUCCACCGUCAUAUGGGAUCAGGUGGUUAUAAGAGUGUCGUUCCCAAGUGGGACCAAAUGGAACAGGAGAUGCUUGCUAGGGGGGUCACACCCGAGACAAUAGCAAAGAAUUGGAGCGAGCGCUCCGAGCAUUGGUUCUAGGUCAUGCGGGAAACGUGGACCCAGACACCGGGGCGCUAGUUUGGGGCCAUGAAAUCUCUAGAGCAGCAGAGAGACUAGUCCGUGCACGAGAGGUGGUUCAGUCUAGUGAGUUCAGGCCCAACAGGGAGAAGGAUGAACUCACGUACACGCUUGAAAAUCCUAAGCACGGUGGGCGUAUGAGAGGCUAUGGUGCAGUUUUGUGGCUGCAUUCAUUCAAAGCUGAUCGAGAAACCUACAGAUGUCGCCAGAGAAUGAAGGACGAGGAGGUUGACCGGAUCUGCCGGCUGGAAGCUUUUGUUAUGUAGUCACAAGAGCGUGAGAAAUCUGAUGAAGAAUGGAUGCAGGCAAAGAUUAAAAGGCAAGUAUAAGAAGCACUUAGUCAAAUGACGAAAGGGUAAGGUACAUCAUAGCCUGAGGUGAACAUUAGCCCCCUAGGCCAGUUGAAAAGCAGUUGUGCUUCCACGGAAGUACCAACCAUUCAGGAUGACACGAAGCUACAGUUCCCCGUGGAUGAUGUCACAGAGGCUUUUACUACUUGUGAGCUGCACGUACCAGAUGGGAAUGCAACAAAAAAGAUGGCUAACAGUGUUGUCAACCCUAUCGACCGAACAAGAACUUCAAGAAUCCAUAGUCGACUAGUACCAGCUGGAUAUGCUAGCGUCUUGGUUGAUAGGGUUGAGAGAGGUUGUGGCAGCGUGCCUCUAGAAAUAGAAGGGGGAGAUGGAGAGAAGACCUUAGGUGAAGCUGAGAAGAGGUUGUUGGCGCAAGCGCUUCAUAAUUAUUCCAGGAGUGUCACUAUCGCCACUACCUCACCAUAGGUUUCUGCAUGAUUUUAGUUCUUAGAUUAUUUAUGUAUUGCACUUAAAAAAAGUUUGCUCACAGAACUCGUUGUUUUCUCAGCAGGGACUCCUCCAACCUAAGUCCAGUUAAUUCCCCAGCUCAUCAUAGUGCUGUGGGCGAUGACGAUGCUGGAUUCGAUGUAAUGGCUGCAAGCUCAUCUCCUCCAACACCUGUGGCGGCUGCCCCGGCCCCACCACUACCUCCAACGUGGUCUCCACCUCCUCCACCGAGGUCUCCAACGCCUCCACCGUGUUCUCCAACGCCAAAAAGAUCGGCCCCAUCGCCUCCAUCGCCUGCACCGUCCUCUCCAAAGAGUACACUGUCGGUCCCAUCGCCUCCAAAGCGAGGCAGUCAGAAGAGGUCCGCCCCAGAACGAUCGAAUUCGUCGGUCUCAUCUCCAAAGAAGGCUGCCUCAGCAAACAAAACUAAGACACUAGAGAAAUUAUCUUAUGAAAAGAGUGAAGAGGAGGUAUUUGCUUCGUCCAAAGCAGAGGUGAAACAAUAGUUUUCUAAAUUGAACUAGGAAGUCAAAGAGCGGCGGAACCUAGAAAAGUCAUACUUAUAUAUAAAGCUAGAGGAACUGAGGAAGAAGGUGGUGGACCACCAAAAGAAGUAGUGGGAAGCUCAGAAGAAGGCAGCACUGUCGGACUAUGAGCACUCUCUGGUCAAGUCUGCACAAUAGCCUAGGAAGAGAGUAGGAAAGGGGGUCCCACAGCUAAGGGAAGUAUCAAAACCGGUGCCCUUGUUGAUUGUGCCAAAUCAAUAUGGCUCAAAUGAGGACUUGAUGGCAAAGCAAUCUUUAAUCUUGUCUGAGCUAGAUUCGCUUGAGCAUUACUUUGGACAAAGCAGUCUAAACAUCAAAGACAUUGCCGCUAUUUGUCACACCCAAAUUUCAAGAAUGAAAUAGAGUGCAUAAAAGACUCAUGUGCGCCCCAGAAUCAGUCGUACACAUAAGUUGACAAAUCUCAAAUAGUACCAUCACAACGUUUAUUACAUAGCAGAAUAAUAAUUAUUACAUAGUCUUAAACAAAUAAAGAUAGUCUCGACGGAAGCACCACACAGGGACAUAAUCGACUGGUUGACUCCAAGCCUAGUACUCAUAACGGUAAUCCUGAUUCCAGUCAUCUUCAUUAGAAUAUCCUGAGGUGUUGUGAAAUAGCAAGAGUGAGCACAUAUUGUACUCAACAAGUAUAACUAGGGGUUCAUGAGGCUCAAUAAGCUGACACUGGUUUGACUGCAUUUAGCUUUUAUAUGUGGAUAGCAGGUUCAUAUUUAGAUAGCAAAAAUCAAGGUAGCAUCAUGAUCAAUGUAUACAAGAAUUAAGAAUAACACAUAUAAACAACAUAAUAAACCAUCAUUUAUCAUCAUUAAUCAUGUUCAUCAGUGUCCAUCUAUUCCGUUAGUUUUCUAGGCCGCCCGUAUCCAUGGGCAUGCCUAGUAUACCAGAUUUUAACACUCUGCAGAGGUGGUACAUCUUUACCCAUGAGUUGUGAUUUACCCUUUCGCCCGAGGUUGCAAGUCUCUUAACCGCCUUCCUAGGGAGGUCGACAGGGAUCACUAUGAAGCCUUUCAAAGGUUUCGUCUAACAAGUUAGGGCCAUUAGAUUCACUCGGCAAGCAGAUAUAGAGCCCCCUUCCAUGGCACAUAACACACAGCCUAUACACACGAACAGAGGCCACACUAUACCCAACAUGUCUAGCCAUUCUUACGCCAUUUAAGGUAACCGCUAACAAGCUAGAAAAAUAUCCUCAUACUGAGCUAAAACCAAAGCACAAUAGUCCUCAUGAUUGUAUGAGUUGUCCCAGCUUUUGCCAAGGGAUAAGUCCCUAUGGAGGUCAAGAUCAAUCUAGCAAAAGCCAGAGUUCUUUCCACCCUUUAUGUUCAAUUUGCUAGAAAGCUUAUUUUAUUGUUUAUUGCAUAUUCAAAUAUUCAUGUUGCAAGAUAAUGGAUUAUAAUUAAGCACUAGCAAGAACUACCCAAGUGUAUAUCCAAGUAGGUAUCAAGGAAUUCAAGAUAACAAUCAUUUCGCUAAGGUUGUCAAGGUGGAUACAUGCAUAUGAUAUAUGUGUAGUUAUAAGUGUAUAGGUAACAUAGAUAGUCCAAAGUUAUACUUGUCUUGAUCAAAGCUCUUCUGGGACUGCUGCUGGUUUUCAAAGACUUGGCCUUGCUCAACAACGUAUUGCUCACCGUCUACACCCGAUCAACAAUCAACAACACGCAUUCCAAUGGAGACAAUCAUACACAAGGCAAACAAGCUAUAAUUAGAACAUUACACCAACAGUGAUAAAACAAAUAUAAAAGUUUAUAAAAAUAUUUUACGCAGCGCCACAAUCACACAAACAUAAAGUUCACGAAAAUCAGAAUUAAAACGUAAAAGUUAUGAAUUUUCUAAGAUUUCCUAUAGAAGAAUAAUUAAUUAAUUAGUGCCACAAAAUUUAAAAGUUCCAUACUGGUAAAACAGUAGCACUAACAUGUAGAGCUCACAAAUACGAACCUAACACAAUUUGAACGGGUCAAAGCGUAAUUAAAAUGAGUAUUUUAUGAGCAAAACAAUUUCAGUGGCAAAACUGUAAAUACUGGAAAGCGUAUUUUAAUUCAAACCGACGAAAAUACGUUUUUAAAACAGCAACACGCCUUUUCCAAAGAUGCCAAGGACAGCGGGUUCGAUUUGGGAAAAGCCGAGGGUCUCUCUAACAACUUUCACCCCAAAGGGGUAUCUUCUAAUCGUGAUCGUCGAUUCACAAUCCGAUGGCUGAGACUUGAUCUGGGGCAGGGUUGGCCGGCCUCCUCGCCGGAACAGGAGCGCCCGCAGUGCACCUCCAUUGUCGGCGUCGAGCUCCUCACCGGAGUUCGCCAAAGCGACGCUGCGGUUCACCAAAAAUGAAACCGAGGGCACUCGAGGGAAGAGAAGGAAGAGGCGAGCUCACCAAUGGCGUUCUCACAGUCGGAGAAGGCUCGGAGGGGUGUGGCUAUGCUCGGCGGUAGAAAGAAACCCUAUUGAGAUCCAAAUCUCGCGGAAUACGAAGCUAGGGCUCGGUUUGGACGACUUGAAUGCAAAAAAGAGGCUUCGAGGUCGAGCAUCGGCUAUGUAGAGUUUGAGAAGAUCUUCUACGCGGUCAAUCCCGUCCAAAACGGGAUUCGGUUCCCCCUAGAGUCCCGAUCGGACUGGGAAGAAGAAAGGGAGGAGGGAGAAGACACUAUUGCAUGGGGCCUAUCUGUCGGCGAGAGAAAAUAGAGAAGGGGAGGGCGCUUGCGUGCGGCAUGGGCUUCGGCUUCUGGGCCGGUUGUGAGCGGUGGCCAACGGGCCGAGAGAGGAAGAUGGACCACAUGGUGCGAGGAAGAGGCGGGCAAGCCGAGAGGGGAGAAAGGCUGGGCUUGCGCGCUGAGAAUUGGGCCGAGAGAGGGAGAAGCCAGGCCUUCGGGCCAAGAGGGUGGGUUUCUCUUUUUUCCCUAUUUCUUUUCCAAAGCAUUUUUAAAAGGAUUUGAAUUCAACUAAAAUUAAGACAAGCACACAGCAAUAAAAUAUGUCCCAGCAUCAAUGCAAAAACAUGUUCCUAAACUUAUGAUAAAUUUUUAAUUCCACAAAAUUUAUUUAUUCACUAAUUUAAAUGCUCACAAAAUAAUUAAAUAAAUCAAGUUAAAUCCUAUUAAUUUAAAAUCAAAUUUGUGGGUGUUACACUAUUGCUGGACGUCAUACUUUUGAAAAGGCUCAGGUAGUUGAUCAAUGGAGGGCAAGAUAUGAACCGGGCAGGAGUCUAAUGAACCCUCAACAUUUACAUGAGCUCGGCACACAAAUGUUUGCAAUAAACAAGUGGUGCAUGGAGGCGUCUAAAAGGGGAGAUAAUUGGAUUUCUGUUCGUAUUCGACAACAUCACUACUUCCGUGGAGAUGACCUCGUAUACGUCCAGUUAGAAGAAUUGCACCAAUUAUGUCACCUCGACGGUCUCGAUAAAUCUCUCGUCAGCUACUUUUGUCUGUAAGUAUUUCUUUCUUUUUUAUUAAACUUCUACCUUCUUUAAUUAUAUGUAUAUAAUCCUUACACACUUAAGAUUUGUAUGUAUAUAUGCAGACACCAAAUGAGAGAGCUCAGAAGCAAAAAUGACAAUAGUACCGUGCAGUGUGGACAACAUCUUAUGAGACAUAAGUCUGCACCAAACUUAUGAGGUUUUUCAUGAACCAAAACGAAAAACAAAAAAUAGUCUUCCCCUACAACUUCGAGUGAGUUAUAUAGUUAUUAAGUGCAUGCAUAUUUUAUUUUACUUAUUAUUACUUGAUUCAGGUUUUAUAUAGUUAUAGGUCUGAUUAUAUAUAUGUGUAAUAAACAACUUUCACUGGAUACUCAUGAUCAUUGAAAUUUCCAAGAACUAGUUGAUAAUCUAUGACUCACUGAGAUAACCACAAAAAAAAUAUCAACAAAUGGUAAACAUUAUUCAAAGAUACGUAAUAUCGAUCUUAGCUAGAAGAAUAUCAUGAUAUGACUCUACAAUUAUUAGUUGACGAUCUACAAUGGCUGUGUAUAGGGUUUGGGAAAGAUUUAUUGAGCGUGAACAUCUCAUUGGUUGUAAAUUUGGGACAUUUUCAUUGCCUUUUGGUAUAUUUUUUAGUUUAUUUUGUUUUGUUGAAUAUUAUCGAAAAAUGUGAGUUUGAACUACAGGUGCAUCGAAUAAUAGAUUUCAUUCUAUCAAAAAAUGUUAUCCUUGUUUCUUAGUGUAAAUUUAGUCUAAAUCAAGGAACCGUCUUGAAGUUUCGAACAACGUGCACACAGGGCAAAGCCGCCAACUUACGUGCAAGUAGUUUUUUAAUUAUAUAAAAUAUGAAUGAAUUUAUCUAUGAUGAAUUAUAGACAUUAUAUGUGUAUGUGAUGAAUUAUGGACAAUAUAUGUGUAUGUGUUGGAUUAUUUUUUCGAGACGAGAGAUAUUCCCCAUUUUUAUUGAAAAAACAAUAGAAAUACCAUUCAUACAGAGAGUUUCUAGAACAAACAAUAAACAAGAGAGAAGCUUACAUGGAAGAAAACUAAAUACCACGACAGGUAAAACAACUACAGCUUACCAACAGACCACUAUGGAAAGUCAAAAGAGUUCAAACUUAGGAAGCAUCAGACAACAAACACUCAUACAAUUAAUAGUCUUCAAAAGAAAGAUUCCUUGAGAUCUUCAAACACUAUUUUGUCCAUAUGCCACCUCAAUUGUUUUGUUCAUCAAGCUUGUCAUCUUGAUCCUUCGGCUUGGUAUCUUUCAGUGAGUGGUGCCUCUGCGCUUUCACCUCCUUAUCCACCAGUGGCAAGGCAAUUUUCAGCAUUGUAUUUGCCCCAACAACCAACUGAUCCUUGUCAUCAUCUAAAAACAAACCUGCCCAAUAUUCCAUAAGAGAACCAGCAUAACAGAUAAUAGAAAUUGGACUUGUAACAGUCUUGCCCUCAAAACAACACUUUUUCGUGUUUUCCAGAUUGCCCAGCAAAUAGCUGCAAUGCCUAAAGCAUGAAAUUUCUCAUAAAAAGGUAGCCAUUGCUCACACCAUGCCCAACAUUGAUCAAAGUUUCUAGGUACAUUGGAAGCACCUAAGCAAUGUGCCACAAUAGCCCACACAACUUUAGCCAAACUACACUGAAAUAGAAGAUGUGAGACAGAUUCAUUGCAAUCACAAAACAAGCAGGAUGGAUCACCAUUCUAUUUCCUGUUACACAUAUUAUCUCUGGUUAGUAUUGCAUUAUUUGCCACAAGCCAUAAAAAGAUUUUGAGCUUAGCAAGGAUAUUUCCUUUAAAGAUUUUUUUCUAAUAGGGACGAGCAUCAUUUGAAGUAAGAGAUUUAUAGACUGAUUUAACAGAGAAGCAACCAUUCUUACCAAAUUUCUAGAAAACCAUAUCCUCUCAACCUUACUAAGGAUAUUAUUCCAAUCUAGUAUCAAAUUAUCUACCAACCAUCUUGUGAAACUAAUAGAACUUUGUUUCAUUUGAGAUACAGAAAUAUCAGGUUGCACGCAAAUUUUAGACAAGUCUAGAAACAGCCACUCUAGAGGUUUAUCAAAUAACCAACUAUCUUUCUAGAACAUAGUCAUCUUACCAUUUUCUAUUUCCAGCUUCCUUCCUUAUAAAUAUAUGUGCCUUAUCUUUACAAGAUCAAGCCAAAUUGCUGAAUCGUACUGUCUGUGUUUCGCGUAAAGAUACUUUUUUCCUAAAACACUUGUAUUCUAUAAUGUCUUGCCGAAGGCCUUUCUCAUUAUCAUGCUUCCACAACCAUUUACAAAGCAGACUAAUAUUCAUUUUCUUGAGGUCUUUAAUAGCUAGCCCUCCUUUCUUCUUAUGCUUACAGAUUUUUGUCCACUUCAGCAAAUGAUAUUUUUUCUUAGUACCCCCACCUUGCUAGAAAAACUUUAUUCUAACUUUGUCUAAUCUGUCAAUGAUGGUUUGGGUAACAGAUAUAUACACAUAUGGUAAAUUGGUGAAUUACUUAUGUUAGAAUUGAUCAAGAUUGUUCUCCUAGCAAUAGACAUCAUGUGUAACACCCUAAAAUUUUGCACCUUUUUAAAUAGAUGAAAAUUAAUUUAAUUUUGUAUUUUUGUGCUCAUGAAAUAUAGGGAAAUAUUAUUUUUCAUUAAAAUAAAACUUAUCAUAGGAUUUAGCAACUUGUUGUGCAUUCAUUUUGGAGCAUUUAUUUUCAUUGUAUUGUGUGAUUUUGGGCAAAGUCAAAAUAUUUCAAACUGUUAUAUUUAAAUGAUUUUUUAAAUGAUUGGAGAAUGACUUUGGAAUAAAAGAAAGGAAAAUAGAAAAAAAAUAUAAAGACAAAACCCCUCCCUCUCUUUGUUUUAGCCCGAGAAGGCCCAACCCCUUUUCCCUCCCCCUUUCUUUUUCCACCCGCUGGAGCCCAGCUUUUCUUCUCUUUACCUUUUCCUCGCUCGGCCCAACGUCCAGCUCCGGCAGCACCUCGGCCCAGCGUGCGCAGCAAGCCCCGCCUCUCUCUCUCUCUCGGCCCAAUGUCCAGCCUAGCAGAGCGUCUUCCCCUCUUCUCUCUGUCUGGCGAUCGGGUCCCGCUUCCUCUCUCGCUGACCGGUGGAGCCCACACGGCAGCGCCUUCCCCUUCCUUCCUCGCGAGGACGAACCAGACACGGCAUCAAACGAACGGCAAAUCCCGCUUCUUCGGGAUUCCUUGCCAGAGCUGCACAUGACCCGCUCCUAUAAAGCUUGUAGCCCUCCUGCGCACCCCCUUUCCCCAUCCACGAGAUUAGGAGCCGCACUUUUCGCCGGUGUCCCCGUUUUGGAUCUCGCCGAGCCAAGGCUCAACCGCCACCAAGAAUGUCGUCGUCUGCGACUCUAGUUCCUCCGUAAGUGCUUUGUCGAGCUUAUUGAGGUGCUUGCGAAGCCACCGAGCUUUCUUUCCCACGAAAUCAUGCUUUGUUUUGCUUGUCUCAGGUCGCCGAAGUUCACAGGGAACUCACUAUCCGCCAUAUCACGAAGCCGACCAUCCUCAAACCCCUUCAGCCCCAUAAUCUAUAGGUGAGUUCGCAUGAAGUUUUUGUAUGCUCCGAUGUCUUCCCCGUCGAAAACCGUGGUCUCUAGGGCCAAAAACGCCAACUCCGGCGGAGAGCAAGCCUCUCCGGCCAUGAAGCCAUCGCUGGAGGCACUGUAGCUGGCUGGCGCCCCCUCUCUCCCUUCCCAGCUUCUAAUCUGAGCCAUCCGAUCCAAGAUCAACGGCUCCUAUUGAAUCGUACCCCUUCGGCUGAACAAUUUCUUAAAGAGACCACGCAGUUUUCAAGUAUAGAACCCGCGGUCCAAAGCACGUUUUAUGAAAUACGCCUUCUAAGUUUGGAAAACGUAUUCUAUUCCGAUUUAAUCCAAAAUACGAUUUCAAGAAUUACAAAAUUGCCACUGAGCUUGUUUUGGCUAUAAAUUAUUCAUUCUAACUCCGAUUUGACCCAUUCAAAUUGUGUUAGGUUCGUUUUCAUGAGCUCUACAUGUUAGUAACACUGUUUUUGCAGUUUGAAACCUUUUAAUUUUGUGAUCCUAUUUAAUUAAUUACUUUUCUAUAUAAAAUAUUAGAAAAUUCAUAUCUUCUCCGUUUUAGCUCUGAUUUUUGUAAUCUUUACGUCUAUGAAAUCGUAGCGAUGCGUAGAAUUAUUUUACAAACUUUUCAUACUGUUUUUAUAUGAUUGGUGUACUAUUCUAAUUGUAGCCUUGUUUGCUUCGUGUAUGUUGUCUCCGUUUGUUUGUGUGUUGAUGAUCGAUGAUCGAGUUUAGACGGAGAGUAGUUUUUGGUGAUUAAGAUGAGAGCUUUGGCAACAAGUAAGACCACCAGAGUUAGGAAGAUCAGCAAGAGCAAUUGGAUCAAGACAAGUAUAACUUGGGACUAUUAUUGUUACCUAUACACAAUUAAUACAAUAUAUCAUAUGCAUGUGUCCACCUUGAUGACCUUAGCAAAAUCAUAGAUGCUUGUUAUCUUGAAUUCCUUGAUACCUAUUUAGAUAUGGAUUUGGGUAGCUCUUGCUAGAGCUUCAUUAUAAUCCAUGAUCUUGAAACAUGAAUAUUUGGAUAUACAAUAAACAAUAAAAUAAGCUUUCUAGCAACUCGAACAUAAAGGGUGGAAAAAACUUUGGCUUUUGCUAGAUUCAUCUUGACCCUCCAUAAGAACUUAUCCCUUGGCAAAUGCUAGGACAACUCGUACAACCAUGAGGGCUAUAUGGCUCAGGCUUUAGUCAAGUAUGAGUAACUUUUCUAGCUCAUUAGCGGUUACCCGUGUGGCAUAAUUGGGAAAUAGCAGAUCAUGGAUUCCUGCGGGUGGAUCACAUGGACUGACUAAUGAAACCAAGCGGCCCUAACUUGUUAGAAGAACCUUUCAAAAACUUCAUAGUGAUCCCUGCCGACCUUCCUUGGUAGUGGGCUAAUAAGAGGCUGAUCACCUCGGAUGAAAGGGUAAAUCAUGACUCAUGGGUAAAGAUGUACAACCUCUGCAGAGUGUUAAAUCUGGUAUACUAGCCAUGCCCACGGAUAUGGGCGGCCCGUAAAACUGACGAAAUAGAUGAACACUGAUGAACAUGAUUAAUGAUGAUAAAUGAUGGUUUAUUAUGUUGUUUAUAUGUGUUAUUCUUAAAUUCUUGUAUACAUUGAUCAUGUGGUUAUGGGAUUAAUUAUGCGACCUUGAUAUUUGCUAUCCAAUGAUUAAAUAUGAUAUCUACAUAUAAAAGCUAAACGCAGUCAAACCAGUGUCAGCUAAUUGAGCCUCAUGAACCCCUGGUUAUACUUGUUGAGUACGAUAUGUGCUCACUCUUGCUAUUUUCCCCCAUACUUCAGGAGGAGUGUUAGGCUUGUGAUCAACCAGUCAGUUUGGAUCCUGUAGAGUGGAGUUAAUAUCCAAAGUUUGGAGUUGUCUAUCCGUUGUUUGCUAUCAAAGGUUAUAUCUUUUAUACUAAGUACGAUAUAUAUUUAUGCAUUGUGUUUUGAUAUUACCCCUUAUUUGUAGCUAUAUGUGAGAUUUGGCUUCUAAAACUCAUAUAUGGUGCAUAUCUGGUUUUGUCCUUGAAAUCAGGUAUUACAAAGUGGUAUCAGAGCAAUGUUGGCUGUAGGACGUAAGCCUAGAUAGAAAUUGGUCUUCUUAAAGUUUUGGAAAUUGUUAUAACACCCUUGCUCUAUAAACCUUGGUAUUUUUCUCUAUACAAUAUCUCUAUCCUUGCUAUUUGUCUCUACCUUGUUGCUUAUUUUAAAAGUCCUUGUUCUCACCUUCACCCCUUGAGUUGGUAUGCUUUUAGAACCUUCCCUUAUCAUCUUCUUGUGUCUUUUGAAGAGGAGUUUUAAGAUCUCUACCCUUACUAUGAAGAGAACGAUAGUAUCGCAAGUUGAGUGAAGUGUGAACCUUCAAUGCUUAAUUGGUUUGUUAUUAUGUUUAUGCUUGAUUUGGAUCUUUGUAAUGAGUACAAUGAUUUUGUGGUAUUUCUCCACAAUAUCAUUUAGUUUAUAGGCCUAAGGCAUAAGGAGUAAUGACAUAAGUAGGUGGGUUUGGUUAUAUCCUGUUUCUAUCCCUUGCUGAUUUCUAGAGCAGUAUGCAAAGAUUCUGGUAUAUCUCAAGUUUUGGUCGUGCAAAGUCUAUCAACGUUUUCUGGGAACAACUAGACUUCAAGAUUUUUCUCUGACCACAAGAAUCACCGUCAUAGCUAUUAUGGUUUGGAAGUUACAAAAAUCACAAGAUAAUAGAGAUGUGUUGUCAAGAAUUUGGACCAGUUUCGGUUGCUUACUGUUUUAGACAAGUAUUGUCGAGGGUAUCGGUAAGGGGUACCCUCAGCGAUGCGCAUUGUGAGAUUGCCCGUACGAAGGUUGGGACCCCCAAUUCGACGCUUUAAUCUUACUUACGCGCCGCCAUCGACGGUCGCAGCCUCGAAUACGGAAAUAGCGUCGAGCGAAUCGGUCAGGGCUCGAGCAACGACUACCGUCGAAGACGGAAGCGGGCUCGAGCGAACCGAGAGACGUCGAGCGUUAGGACACUGUCCGCCGCCUGACGCGCGCACGCGGGCGGGAGCAUUAAAUGCAUCUGACGUUUCCCACCUAACACACGGGUCACGGAAGGCGUGAUAGGGAACAAGCUUCUGUCCCAUCGUUCCUUUUGCAGCCUUCCCACCGAACGACCCAGGGUGUGUCAGGAUGCAGGAAACGAGGAUGGAACGUCUAAUCGGGACCCCCUCGAGACACCCAAGGUCAGCGCUCCGGAUAUCAGCCUAUUACGCGGCGCCCGACCCUCGACCGAACGAGGUCCCUUCCCGGGGACAAGUCGGGCAUCGACUGACAACACCACAGCUGCUCCGCCGGAUCCGCCACCAUACCAUACGAGCAUGCGAUCUCAGAACCAGCACAAGGCGGCUGGCAGGGCAGCACGCAGGAGCACGCGUAAUCAUCACCAAGCUAUCAAGAUGGGACGGCUCGAGGCCAUGACGUACGGAAGUCUCGAGUAGGUCAGCGUUCCAUGCGGCUAUCGAUCCCUACUCUAAUAUCUAGGCAUGUACCCUUUGUCUCUCCUUGGAGCUAUAAAAGGAGGGACUCAGGAAUAGAAGAGGGGGACAUCACAACGCAAGAACACACACACACACGUAGUAGAGCGACACAUUUCAUUCCACGCUUGUAUUCGCCCCUGUACAAGCACUUAGGUGCAAGAUAAUACAAACUCUCUCCCCCCGCUGGACGUAGGGCCUUCUCUUGCCCGAACCAGGAUAAAUCUCUGUGUCUUCUUGCAUCACCAUCCGGAAAGGGGAGCACGCAUACAAAUUUACUCGUUGGUGUGACCCCCCGGGGAAAAAACACCGACAGUUGGCGCGCCAGGUAGGGGUCCUGCGUGUUUUUCACCGAUUUCCCACCACUUUCCGGAUGGCUACUCCUGCCUCGCCGCUUCCGCACUCCACGGUGAUUUGGUUUGGGAGUCUCGAGUUCAUGUCUACGGGCUUCGGCUACGACAUGAUCUUGCUCUCGGUCAAAGGACCAGGAGGAGUCCGCGUUACGCCAGCACGGUUGAAGGCUCCAAGACGCCCUCACCACCACGCCUCCCCGCCUAAGAAGAGGCGCGGGCAGCACCACCGUGGCCCCCUUGCUUCGGCACGACCAACAACUCGUGCAAGGCAGGAUGCGGGCCCCGGGUCGGCAACACCGUGUGACCGAGCAACAAGCGCGACGACUCAGCACCACGCGACGACGGGGGGAGACGCGUCUCGCGCACCCUCCCCCACUGCAGCUAGGCAACCUCCACGCGGGUUGUUCUCUCCAAGGGCGGCACUGCCGUUCGGAUUGGACAACGCCGCGGCAUCGCUCGCCAAGACGAUAUGCCCAAACGCUCAGACAUACGUGGAAAGACCAAUGGUCAUCCCACGUAGUUCCGAAGAGCGGCGGCCGACGUCCGAACUGCCGGACCUUUCCCGAGUACGGGGCCUCCGCCGUCUAGGCCCCGGACGAUACUCGAUCACCUCCCUCAGGCAACGAUGGCUGGAGGAAGGACGUGAAUGUUUCCACGCUGCCAAGCCAGACUCCGACUCCGAGACAGACAGCUAUGACCCUACGAGGGAAUGCUAUCACCUCGACGGGGCGGCAGAAACCACCGACGAGACACGGGAUGCUGUUGCGGGUGGACGAGCCCCCGCGGCGCAAGAAGACCCCAGGACGCCUGGGAACGACGGACGGUUCGACCCUCUUCCUCAGGAAGAUAGAACUGCGCAGCUCGCGCAGCUGCGGGAGCUCAAGAUGAAGCUCAACGAAGAUCGCGAGCGCCUCGUCCUGCUCGAGCAAAUCCUCGAACAAGACCUGCCCUACCCGCCAGGCGGAAGUGUCCGCAGACGCGCUCGAGAGGUACAUCGACAGAUCGUCGGUGACACGGAGGCGGAGCAACCUGUCGGCCGCUUCCCUCGAGCAGGCCAGAAUGUAGUGGCAGCGACGAUGCUGCUGCGUAACAUGCCAGAACCAUCAAAUUCCCAGGCCCGACGAAUUCGAGAUGAAGUUCAGACAUUGCUCCAGGUGGCAGCAGUUCAACAAGCCGAAAGUUCGGCAUCUCGACGACGAGGAGCUGCCACAGAGAAGCGCGACGAACAGCCUCUAAUCGAAGAGGAGGUGUCUGUCCAGCAACAACCUCCCCCUCGAGGCAGAAAGACCGCUCUCAUCCUCCCUGCCGACAAUCAACGUCGACACGACGCGCGACACGACGUCAAAGAAAAUAGACGCCGACGGCACGGAGACGCGGAAGAACGUGGUUAUAGCGCGCAUCGCGGUGGGAGGUACGACAGCGACGAGGACCGGGUGGCCCCCGAGCCACCGGGCCCGCGGGUGUUCAGCAGGGCGAUUCGCAGCACGCCCCUGCCUAGUCCAUUCCGACCCCCAACCAGCAUCGCGAAGUACAAUGGAGAAACCAAGCCAGAGCUAUGGCUGGCCGAUUUCAGGCUGGCUUGUCAGCUAGGCGGCGCUCGGGGGGACGAUCGAGCCAUCAUCCGACAACUACCCCUUUUCCUCUCCGACACCGCCCGUCGAUGGCUCGAGGAACUCCCAGCCAAUCAGAUUCACAACUGGGUUGACCUGGUCAGAGUCUUCGAGGGUAACUUCAAAGGGACCUAUAUACGGCCAGGGAACUCGUGGGACCUCAGCAAAUGCAAGCAGAAGUCAGGAGAAACUCUUCGGGAGUACGCUCGACGCUUCUCGAAGCAGCGCACUGAGUUGCCACACAUCCCCGACCACGACGUCAUCUUGGCGUUUGUCUCGGGCACCACCAGCCGAGACUUGGUGCGGGAAUUAGGCCGCAAUCGACCUCAAACCGUCGACAAGCUGAUGGACGUAGUGGCUAACUACGCGGCAGGGGAGGAGGCAGUCGGCGCCUUCUUCAGCUCAGAAGGAAGAAAAGGCAAGCAGCCCGUCGAUGAAGAUGGGACUUCCGGUCGAGGCCUCAAGAAAAAUAAAAAGAAGCAGAAAGUGCGGCAGUUCCACCAGGGAGAUUCGGGUGACGACCUCGUCGCCACGAUGGAUCGAAAGAAGCCGCGAGGCCCUCCGGAGGGAGGCAUCUUCGACAAGAUGUUGGAGGACCCGUGCCCUUACCAUAAGGGAGGCGCUAACCACAAACUCAAGGAUUGUCGCAUGCUGAGAAAGCAUUUCGACAGUCAGGGGCUUAAAAAAGAUGCGCGUGAUGACUCCAAGAAGGAGAAGGCUGGCGGCAAGGAGGACAACAAAGAUGACGACGGCUUCCCCGCCGUCCACGACUGCUACAUGAUCUAUGGCGGGCCUUCGACUCAGUUGACCGCGAGGCAGCGCAAGAGGGAGCGUCGCGAAGUCUUUGCAGCAAGGAUGGCGGUGCCCCAGUAUCUUAGCUGGUCAAGUACUCCCAUCACCUUCGACCGAGAAGAUCACCCCGACAAGGUGAUCGCCCCAGGCGUCUACCCGCUCGUCGUCGACCCCAUCAUCGUCAACACCCGACUCUCGAAAGUGCUGAUGGACGGCGGCAGCAGUCUCAACAUCAUCUACCUCGAGACCCUCGAUCUCCUCGGCAUCGAUAGAGGACGCCUCCAGCCAAGCGCCGGCGGCUUCCAUGGCGUCGUACCAGGGAAAAAGGCACUGCCAGUAGGUCGAAUCGACCUACCGGUCUGCUUCGGAACGGCGGCCAACUUCAGGAAGGAGACCCUCACCUUUGAGGUGGUUGGGUUCCGAGGCACGUACCACGCCAUCAUCGGACGCCCGGGCUACGCCAAGUUCAUGGCUAUACCCAACUACACAUACUUGAAGCUGAAGAUGCCUGGUCCCAAAGGCGUCAUCACCAUCAGUUCUUCCUUCGAGCACGCGUACGAGUGCGACGUUGAGUGCGUCGAGUACGGGGAGGCGGUCGAGAGCUCCACCGAGCUCGUUGCGAAGCUCGAAGCCAUGGCCGCUGAGGCUCCAGAACCUAAACGUCAUGCGGGCAGCUUCGAGGCGGUGGAAGGUACUAAGAAGAUCCCGCUCGACCCCAACAACUCCGACGGCAAGGUGCUGACAAUCAGCACCAACCUCGACCCCAAAUAGGAAGCCGUGCUCGUCGACUUUCUCCGUGCGAAUGCUGAUAUGUUUGCAUGGAGUCCCUCGGAUAUGCCGGGCAUACCGAGGGAAGUCGCCGAGCACUCCUUGGAGAUUCGAGCCGGUUCCAAGCCAGUGAAGCAGCGGUUGCGCCGAUUCGACGAGGAAAAGCGCAAGAUCAUUGGCGAGGAAGUCCACAAGCUUUUGACGGCCGGAUUCAUCAAGGAGGUUCAUCAUCCUGACUGGUUAGCGAACCCUGUAUUAGUUAAGAAAAAGAAUGGGAAAAUGAGGAUGUGUGUCGAUUAUACUAGUUUGAAUAAAGCAUGUCCGAAAGUUCCUUUUCCGUUACCACGCAUUGAUCAAAUUGUCGAUUCUACCGCGGGAUGUGAAACCCUUUCUUUCCUUGAUGCUUAUUCUGGUUAUCACCAAAUAAAAAUGAAAGAGUCCGACCAGCUCGCGACCUCUUUCAUCACGCCUUUCGGGAUGUAUUGCUACGUGACCAUGCCAUUUGGGCUUCGAAACGCGGGAGCCACGUAUCAACGUUGCAUGCUCCACGUAUUUGGCGAAUAUAUAGGUUCAACGGUCGAGGCCUACGUCGAUGACAUUGUCGUCAAGUCAAAGCAACGAGGAGACCUGAUCCAGGACCUCGAGGUUGCUUUCAGCUGCUUACGCACCAGCCGGAUCAAGCUUAAUCCCGAGAAGUGCAUUUUCGGCGUACCUCGAGGCAUGCUCUUAGGAUACAUUGUUUCACAGCGCGGUAUCGAGGCCAACCCCGAGAAAGUCUCGGCCAUCACGAAAAUGGGGCCAAUCCGAGACAUCAAGGGCGUCCAGAGAGUCACGGGGUGCCUGGCGGCUCUGAGCCGUUUCAUCUCGAGACUAGGAGAAAAGGCAUUACCAUUAUAUCGACUCCUGAAGAAGGUCGAGCGUUUUUCUUGGACCCCCGAGGCCGAGGAAGCACUUGAAAAGCUGAAAAAGACGAUGACUUCGGCACCAGUCCUGGUUCCACCUCGACCUGCGGAACCACUGCUCCUCUACGUCGCGUCGACGACCCAGGUCGUCAGCGCGGCAGUGGUGGUCGAAAGACAAGAGGAGGGUCACGCGCUGCCAGUCCAAAGGCCGGUCUAUUUCGUCAGCGAGGUGCUUUCGGAGACCAAGGCGCGUUACCCCCAAAUCCAGAAGCUGAUCUACGCCGUAAUCCUUGCCCGCCGUAAAUUACAGCAUUAUUUCCUUGGUCAUCCUAUCACGGUGGUCUCUUCUUUCCCUUUGGGCGAAAUAAUCCAGAGCAAGGAGGCCACGGGAAGGAUAGCGAAGUGGUCGGUCGAGCUCAUGAGCGAGACUCUCGCUUACGCGCCUCGAAAGGCCAUCAAAUCGCAAGCCCUGGUAGAUUUCGUCGCAGAAUGGACGGACUCCCAGCUUCCCCCGACUCAGGUCCAGGCGGAGCUGUGGACAAUGUAUUUCGACGGGUCACUCAUGAAAACUGGGGCCGGGGCCGGCCUACUGCUCAUCUCACCCUUGGGCGUCCACAUGAGGUACAUAAUCAGGAUUCAUUUCGCCGCAUCUAACAAUGUCGCAGAAUAUGAGGCCCUCGUCAACGGUCUCAAGAUCGCUAUUGAGUUAGGAGUCCGACGCCUCGACGUCCGAGGCGACUCCCAACUCGUCAUCGACCAGGUAAUGAAAGCCUCGAGUUGCCAUGACCCAAAAAUGGAAGCAUACUGCAAGGAGGUACGUCGACUCGAAGACAAAUUCCACGGCCUCGAGCUCGUCCAUAUCGCUCGACGCUACAACGAGGCAGCCGACGAACUCGCCAAGAUUGCAUCUACCAGAGGCACAGUGCCGCCUGAUGUAUUCUCAAAGGAUCUACACGAGCCAUCCGUCGACCUAGGCACGGGGGCUGGCGCCGAUACCACCAUCGCCCAACCAACCAAUGCUGUCGAUGUGCUCUUGAUGGAGGAAGAGGUGAUGGAAAUAGAACGACGACCGGGUCGACCAUUCGAUUGGCGCACACCGUUCCUCGACUGCCUUAUCCGCGGUGAGUUGCCAGAAGACAGGACAGAAGCUCGUCGUAUCGCUCGACGGGCCAAAUCAUAUGUGAUCUAUGGUGAAGACAACGAGCUAUAUCGACGGAGCCCGACGGGGAUCUUACAGCGUUGCAUCACCAUAGAGGAAGGCCGAAAACUCCUCGACGACCUGCACUCGGGGGCUUGUGGCCACCACGCCGCCCCACGGACCCUUGUAGGAAACGCUUUUCGGCAAGGCUUUUACUGGCCAACGGCCGUGGCGGAUGUCGUCGAGCUCGUACGCUCGUGUCAUGGGUGCCAAUUCUACGCCAAACAGACGCACCUGCCCGCCCAUGCUCUUCAGAUGAUCCCCAUCACCUGGCCGUUUGCGGUGUGGGGGCUCGACUUAGUAGGGCCUCUACAAAAGGCGAAAGGAGGAUAUACACAUUUGCUGGUGGCUAUUGACAAGUUCUCUAAAUGGAUCGAGGCUCGACCCAUCACUAACAUCCGCUCCGAGCAGGCCGUCCUCUUCUUCUCCGACAUCAUCCAUCGAUUUGGGAUCCCCAAUGUCAUCAUCACCGACAACGGCACCCAGUUUACUGGCAGAAAGUUCUUGGAUUUCUGUGAUCGGCAUCACAUCCGUGUGAAUUGGUCCGCAGUAGCCCACCCUCGAACUAACGGCCAGGUCGAGCGUGCCAACGGCAUGAUUUUGCAAGGACUCAAGCCAAGGAUCUACAAUCGAUUGAAGAAAUUCGGCAAGAGAUGGGUCGAGGAGCUUUCCUCGGUCCUAUGGAGCCUAAGGACAACGCCGAGCAGGGCCACCAAAUACACCCCGUUCUUUAUGGUCUACGGCUCUGAGGCUAUCCUUCCCACAGACCUCGAGUAUGGGUCACCUCGACUCAAGGCUUACAAUGAGCAAUCGAACAAAGAAGCUCAAGAAAACGCGGUCGACCAACUCGAGGAAGCUCGAGACAUGGCCCUCCUCAAUUCUGCUAGAUAUCAGCAGAGACUCCGACGCUACCACGACAAGCACGUGCGCAAGAGGGACCUCAACGUAGGCGACCUUGUCCUACGACGCCGGCAAAGCAACCAAGGACGCCACAAGCUAACCCCACCUUGGGAAGGCCCGUAUGUGGUGGCCGAGGUCCUUAAGCCAGGAACGUACAAAUUGGCGGACGAAAAGGGGGCAGUCUUCACCAACGCAUGGAACAUCGAACAGCUACGUCGAUUCUACCCCUAGAAGUCCUAGAUUUACGAUCCUACUUUUUGUACGAAGACUUUGUAAAUGAACGCAUGAAUAAAUAAAGUCUUUCCCUCGAGCAGUUUCUUUCUGUACCAAAAAUAGUUACGAAUUAUAGUCUCGACGUUAAAGGGGGAUGCCGACCAUGACCCAUCAUAGUCCGCACCCCCUCGGGGGCUACCAGAGGGACGACCCCUCCCCAAGCGUCGAAAAAGCCAAAAAGUUUCUCUAUUUCCUACUUAGUAAACCUUGAACGAUCGAGUAGUCGAGGCGCCUCGAGCCCCUCGACGACCGGAGGAUAGCGAGCCUGAGAACACCUACGCCCCCGGGCUAUGGAAACUCUACCCACUCCCUCACCCUCGAGGCGAUCGAGGCUGUGUUUUACGAAAAAUCGAACAAGGAACACAUGUGUAGGCGCAAAGGAAAUAAAAGAACCUCGAGUGGAAAGACAAACAAACAUUUAACAACCACAAAAGUACUGUAUCGCUCAGAAACAGGAUUAACUAAGUUUUAUACAAGGGGCCCCAGGCACCCCGAGCAGGCUCGCAGGCCUCAGUCCAUGGUACGAUCCUCGCCACCCUCACCUCCGCCCGAGCCAGUCUCAGGAGGAAGCACCUCAGGUUCAAAUAGCUUGGCCAGCCUCUCUCCAGGGGCCUCCGCGUCAUCGAUCAAAGCGUGAAGCCUUUCUUCGUUCUCCGCGUCGGUCUUGGAGAUGUCGGUGACGAAGCCAUGAGACACCACCUCCAUGUCGUAGGAGAAGCCCGAGCAGACGACCGCCAUCGCCCGCUUUACCCCGACGUGGAGGGCAUCCCGCACCCGAUCUCGCAGCGUUGCGCCUAUGUAGCACAACUGGUCGAUCAGGGCGUCGCCUCGGGCGUCUUCCCUCGACUCAUCCAUAGGAUCGACCUCCCAAGAGGUCGAGAGCUCGCUUAUCGCCGUCCGCACUCGACGGUUCAAAGCAACCUCAGCCUCGAGUUGAGCCUUGGCGUUGCGAGCCUCGGCUUGGGCGGCCAGGAGUUCGUCUUUGAGCCCUACAAAUACCAAUACAAAGGAGCUUUAGAAAAAACUCAAGCACACCUCGAAAAGGAAAUUCGACAAAGGGAACAUACCUUUGAUGCUCUCCUCUAGAGCCGUGUUCUCGCCAACCAAUCUGGUAUUGGCACGCUCGAUCUCUCUGUUGGAGCGCGUCAGCUCAGUAUUGGCAACGCGGAGAUCUUCGAUCACCCUGCCAGCCUGAGUGACGGCUCCACUUUUCUCUAGCAGUUCUCCCUUCAGACGCUCGACGUCGUCAGAGAGACUGCGGGAUCGAGCUCGCUCCAUCUCGAGGUCUUCAAGGGCUUUCUUUUUUGCGUCCUCGGCGGCACCCCUGGCGACCUCACUGUCCACGAACGCCACCUUCAUCUUCUGGAAGGUAUCACGGAGGGAGUCCAGGUCGGUCUGGAGAAGGCCCUUCUCCUUGUCCAAGUCCGCAAUGAUGCCCUUGUGGGACAGGACCUCCUCCCGGGCUCUGGACGCGGCCUCCUCGACCGUAAGAGCCCGCUCCCGUAGCCGCACCGCCUCCUCCUCCGCCUUCUUCGAGACCUCUCGGGCCUCGGCCAAAGCAGCCUCCCUCGUCUUCUUCUCCUCCUCGAGUGCUAUAAGAUCUUUAUAAGCUUUAAGCAGCUUUUCCUGUGACUCGAGGAGUUGAUCCUUGAGGAGGGGAAGCUGCUCCCAUCCGCCCCUCGUGGCAUGUAUGAAGCUAGACUUGAUGCGAGAGGUCUCUUUCAUAUCCUGCGAAUCAGGGGCCAGGGGGAUUAGAACACGGAGACCCGAAAGCACCACAACGAUUGGAGCUCGAGAAACACUUACAAAAUAAGCAGGCCUGAGCCCGUUGUUGAUGACGUCCGAUAGGAGCCCCACCACGUGUUUCAUCCAAAGGCGGAGCUCCUCGACGUGCUCCCACUUCUCGACUUCCUUCUUGUCAUCGAGGAAGAUAUUGGGCUCGGACGGGUCGCUGGAAGCUCGGAUACGAAUCCGAUCGGGGCACCAGUUCUCCAUCUCCCGAUCGGACCGCACCUUGACGCCGCGGAGGAAGUUCUCGACGGUCUCGAGGGAACCCCCGUGGCGCAAGAACAGGUCGGCGAGGCAAGGGAACCGGCCGUCGUCGUCCACCGUCUUCCACGUGCCGUCCUUGCUCCCAGACGAUCCGAUCUCGUCUUCCUCAGAGGGAAAACGGUCCUCCCACGCUCGACGCUCCCGGAGGAACCCUGGAGCGAUCCCGUCCAUGCCGUAGAGUGUCCCCUUGAUCUCGGACUCGGGGUCGGUAGGGGUGCGCAUCAUGCAGGCGAGCGCCACCACUCCGUCCGCUCGCCCCGACUCUGCCCGGAUCGCGGCAGGCGCCCCCGGGAGGAGCCACGCUGGGGUAGGAGGCCCGUACACCGGCAAAUCUCCCUCUUGAUCGUCGGGCUCUUGCGACGCCAGCGGCGCCGGUUCGGCCAAAAUUUGAGGCGGGGGCUCGAGCGGCUCGUUCUCCUGGCCCCCCAGCGGCUGUUGCUGCCCCAGCUGCUGCUGCUGCUCCUCCUGCUGACGCUGCAGUUGCUCCUCCGGCAGAGGUUGCUGCUGCUGCUGCUCCAGUGACGGCUGCGUCGCCUCGCGCUCCCGCCCCUCCUCCUCCACCAUCUUCUUUUGCGCCUCGAGGGCUCGAAGGCCCGCGGGCCAGGGAGUCCGUCCUGCGACGUUAGGAGUCGACGCUUCUUCCUCCAUGGGUCGAGCGCCCCCAGACGCUUCGUUGCCAUCAGACGUAUCGCUGAUGGUGAUGGGUUCCCCCUCGACCCCCAAUCGAGAGGGCUCGGGGGCUCCCUCUGACGCACGCGUCUGGGGGGCCGCAUCGUGAGUCGGUGGCGGCGAAGUAGGCGCGGGACGAGGCAAAGCUAUCUCGACGCUGUCUGAAGGUUGGGUGCUUGACGAGCCUACAAAGGGUAAGGGUCAGACGUUAUGAUAACCGACGUAAGGAUAUCGUAGCACCCAGGAAUUAACUAUGAACCUGGUUCCGUGGAGGUGGCACCCGUUCUGAGCCUCUUGGCCAUCGAUGGUUGGGCCUGCUCGAGGGUUCGUUUCAACCUGAGAAAAAGUCAGCAUGUGAGGAAGGGUGAAAGAAUAGGAGGACAAAGACCGCAACGACAGAAGGGCUUACCCCACGGGCAGAACGGCUCGCUUUCCGCCUACCCGACCAGUGGGCCUCGAGCCACCCCGCGUCGGGGCGCUAAGCCCCUCGGGGGCGGAAACUGGCCUAGGUACGUCGGUCCCCGCCUGGCGGGCGCCGGGACUCGUGCUCCUACGACCAGCGUCCCCUUUCUCAGAGGCCGCAGCGCGACCGCGAGUUAGCGGCCCCGACGCCUGGGACCUAGCCGGACCGCUCUCCCUGGGCGCCAGGGGAGGGCGCGGUGCGUCUUGGCCCGCCUUGGGCGCGGAAGGAGCGUCGGGCCGGGGGCGACGAGAUCCGCUCGGACCCUCCUCCGGCACCUCCGUCCGGGGGGCGUCGACGUCACCUCGAGGCGGGCCCUCGAGGAUCCGAUCGAGGCGCGACGCCAUCCCCUCGGAAUCGUCGCUACUCUCGUCGUCGUCAUCGUCAUCGUUGGGGGAUUCUUCCUCAGGUUCCCCCCUCUGCCUGGAUUUAGCUCGACGCGCCUCUAAUGCUUGGCGGUCGAGGUUCUUCUUCUUCUCCCCCUUCUUUGCGGAGUCCUUGGCAGACUUCAGCUUCUCGGCGGAUUGGCGCCGCUUGUCGCGAUCGACCUCGUCCUCCUUUACCGGAGGCCUCGAGGACCGGACAUCAAUUCGACCCUGCCAAAACUAAGGUAGACUUAGAAGAAAGAGAAGGAAUAAGGGAAACCCAGAAUCGAGGAUGCACGUAAGAAGAAAACAUACCAGAUCGAUCGAGCCUGCGUCAGGCCUCAUGGGGAAGCCGUUGACAUGCUCCGGCUUAAAAUCACCGGCAAUUGCGGCCCUGACUCGGGCCGCGACUUCAUCGUCUCCCGGAGGCUCGCUGGACAUCCGGCAUGCCUCGAGGUCUCGAGACGAGACGCCAGGGCCCAUCUCGUCCAUCCUCAGCGGUCGCGACAUCAGAGGGAGAACUCUCCGAUGAUGGACGGCCGAGAGGACAAGGGCGGCGGUCAAACCUUCCUGGCGAAGCUUCUUCAGGGCGUCGAGGAGAGGGUCGAGCCGAGGCUGAUGAGCUUGGACGACGCCGUAAGUCCAGUCCGCCGGACGCUCCAAGAUCAGACGGCCCGAGUAGGAAGGAAGGAGGUUGUCGUCGUUCCGCAGGUAGAACCAUUGGGAGUCCCAACCGGCGUGGUUGGUCGACAACCCUACCGGGAUGUACUCCCGCGGCCGGUCCGUCUUCCCCGUCUUCUGCACCAGAUUGAGGCAACGUCUUCCCCGUCUUCCCCGUCUUCAGGACGCAGGAAACGAGGAUGGAACGUCUAAUCGGGACCCCCUCGAGACACCCAAGGUCAGCGCUCCGGAUAUCAGCCUAUUACGCGGCGCCCGACCCUCGACCGAACGAGGUCCCUUCCCGGGGACAAGUCGGGCAUCGACUGACAACACCACAGCUGCUCCGCCGGAUCCGCCACCAUACCAUACGAGCAUGCGAUCUCAGAACCAGCACAAGGCGGCUGGCAGGGCAGCACGCAGGAGCACGCGUAAUCAUCACCAAGCUAUCAAGAUGGGACGGCUCGAGGCCAUGACGUACGGAAGUCUCGAGUAGGUCAGCGUUCCAUGCGGCUAUCGAUCCCUACUCUAAUAUCUAGGCAUGUACCCUUUGUCUCUCCUUGGAGCUAUAAAAGGAGGGACUCAGGAAUAGAAGAGGGGGACAUCACAACGCAAGAACACACACACACACGUAGUAGAGCGACACAUUUCAUUCCACGCUUGUAUUCGCCCCUGUACAAGCACUUAGGUGCAAGAUAAUACAAACUCUCUCCCCCCGCUGGACGUAGGGCCUUCUCUUGCCCGAACCAGGAUAAAUCUCUGUGUCUUCUUGCAUCACCAUCCGGAAAGGGGAGCACGCAUACAAAUUUACUCGUUGGUGUGACCCCCCGGGGAAAAAACACCGACAAGUAUAACUAUAGAAUUUGGAAAAGUGUUCUAUAGAAAAGUUCUAGACAAGUUUCUAAGAUUUCCAAUAGUAUAAGCUGGAACUUAUUCGGAUAAGUAGAACCUGCGAUAUGAUAUUUACAAUUGGAUGUUUCUGUACUGUUUCAACAUUUGGACAGAUCUGGUACUUUUCUAUUUUCAGCCAAAUUAACUUUAGAAUCUGGGAAAAUGUUAUAUACGAAAGUUGUAGAGGAUUUUAUAUGCUUUUGAACAAUGUAAAUAUCAUCUCCAGAGGAGUUUCUUAGCUCGAGAUAUGACUUCUGCAAGUUACUGCAACUUUGCUGAGACAUUGUCAGGAUGGAUAUUAAGGUUGGUUGUUUUACCUAAGCUUAAAGACAGAACCUAUGGAAGUUUUCUAUAUAAAAGUUGUAGGGAAUUUCAUAAGUUUUCUACCAGUAUAAGCUACAACUCUAUUGGAUUAAUAGGAUAAGAUUUAUAUGUGUUUUACUAUGCUGGUGUUUUCAUAUCAUGAGAAAAUUUCAGGAUACCUGUUUGUUCUCUUGCACAAAAGUUCUUUCGGAUGUAAGAAGUUUUCAAUGUUAGUUAACCUGCCUAGAAAACAGGCAAGCUACCUUUCUUGUGUCCCCUAGUCGACUUUUCUUAAGGGGGGUAGCCUAAUUAAAGGAGUUACAGGGAGAAUGAUUGGUGAAAGUUAAAUCAUAUAUAAGUACAUCAAGUUCUUGGUGAAUUUGGUUUGUUCAAGAUAUCAUCCCAUUUAGAGAAUAUUAAUGGAGAUAUAUGUCAUUGCUCAUACUCAUGGAUUAAGAGUUGUGUAUGAGGAUCAGAUGACACCAAAGUCUACAAAGUUACAUAUACAAUAUGGGAGUGAAACAACUUGAUUGUGAUAAAGGUGUCAAUAGAUGGAACUUAGUGAUGAAAACAACCUUGGAUUAAGAGACUUGGUACAAUCGAUUUAAAAGACUAUGAUGUGUAGCGUCCAAAAAGGAUAGGAGGACUAGUCCCUACUAUUCCCCAAUCAAUCUCAUCUUAAGGGGGGUAGUACCUUGAUACCACGGGUUGAUGUCUUUUCAAUCUAUCUUGGAGUGAAUACUUGUUUCUUGAGAUAAUCUAUGGCUAUGAUCAUUUGUCCUUAUCGUGUUACUGAUGUUGGUCACUUGAUGACAGGAAGUGUAGUGUCCCAUGGAUAUGUGGGAAGAUUAUGAUCACCUUGCCUUUGAAGAAAGAUGUUAUGAGUAUGACAAAGCUGAGUGUUAUCAAAAUAAUAAUACAAAAGAGCAAGUUGACAUUGAAUCAAAUCAGAAUCCACAACGGUGAAAGCAUAAAAGGAAAGCCCUUAAGAAGCCUGCUCUCGGAAGUAAGGUGCAGCGGAAUUAUAUCAAUGGAAGGCUGAGCAAUGUGGAUAGGAAUAACAUUCAAGGAGCCACCAAAGUGGUGGGAGGCUAUAUUCAAGUGGACUCAGUUCUUUCAUUUCCGUCGACUUGGUAAAGACGAUCGAAUGGGUGAAGUGUCCAACGAGGAAGCCUUUGUUAGUUCAAACCCCAAUGGGAGAAAUACAUGCAGAUCAGGUUUGCUCGAAUAUCAAUUUGGUCAUAAGCAAGGAAACUUCACUGUAAACCUUAUUGUGCUAGAGUUACUCGACAUUCCUUUGGUUCUUGGCAAUGGAUGGUUAUGUGCACACAAAGGAGUGAUCUAUGCUACCCAGUGGAAAAUUUUCUUAACCGCACCAUCAGGGAAAAGAAUUGAGUAUUAGGGUGGUCCACUCCUACCUCAGGAGGCAUAUCCAUGCUAAGUUAUGAUGUCUUUGAGUUGUAUAAGUCAAAAAGUUGGUAGUCAAGAUGGAUCUUGAUCAAUUACGAAUAAUAGACAUUGCGUGGAAACCAUGAUUCACAAGUUGUGAUCCCGAGACAUAAGUAUUUACAUUGGAAUACAAGUUGGGAAGUCUAAAUAGUUAUCAAGAUCUUGUUCUUGUUUCUCUUUUGGAAUCCGUGUCUCUUCUGAAUCUCGAGGACGAGAUUCAUUUUAAGGAGGGUAGAUUUGUAACACCCUAAAAUUUUGCACCUUUUUGAAUAGAUGAAAAUUAAUUUAAUUUUAUAUUUUUGUGCUCAUGAAGUAUAGGGAAAUAAUAUUUUUCAUUAAAAUAAAACUUAUCAUAGGAUUUAGCAACUUGUUGUGCAUUCAUUUUGGAGCAUUUAUUUUCAUUGUAUUGCGUGAUUUUGGGCAAAGUCAAAAUAUUUCAAACUGUUAUAUUUAAAAGAUUUUUUAAAUGAUUGGAAAAUGGCUUUGGAAUAAAAGAAAGGAAAAUAGAAAAAAAAUUAAAGACAAAACCCCUCCCUCUCUUUGUUUUAGCCCGAGAAGGCCCAACCCCUUUUCCCUCCCCCUUUCUUUUUCCCCUGCUGGAGCCAAGCUUUUCUUCUCUUUACCUUUUCCUCGGUCGGCCCAACGUCCAGCUCCGCCAGCACCUCGGCCCAGCGCGCGCAGCAAGCCCCGCCUCUCUCUCUCUCGACCCAAUGGCCACCCCAGCAGCGUGUCUUCCCCUCUUCUCUCUGUCUGGCGAUCGGGUCACGCUUCCUCUCUCGCUGACCGGUGGAGGCCACAUGGCAGCGCCUUCCCCUUCUUUCCUCGCGUGGCCAAACCAGACACGGCAUCAAACGAACGGCAAAUCCCGCUUCUUCGGGAUUCCUUACCAAAGCUGCACGUGACCCGCUCCUAUAAAGCUUGUAGCCCUCCUGCGCACCCCCUUUACCCAUCAACGAGAUUAGGAGCCGGCCUUUUUGCCGGUGUCCCCGUUUUGGAUCUCGCCGAGCCAAGGCUCAACCGCCACCAAGAACGUCGUCGUCUGUGACUCUAGUUCCUCCGUAAGUGCUUUGCCGAGCUUAUUGAGGUGCUUGCGAAGCGACCGAGCUUUCUUUCCCACGAAAUCACGCUUUGUUUUGCUUGUCUCAGGUCGCCGAAGUUCACAGGGAACACACUAUCCGCCAUAUCAUGCAGCUGACCAUCCUCGAACCCUCUCUACCUCCAUAAAUCCUAUAGGUGAGUUCGCACGAAGUUUCUAUACGCUCCGAUGUCUUCCUCGUCAAAAACCGUGGUCUCUAGGGCCAAAAACACCAACUCCGCCGAGGAGCAAGGCUCUCCGGCCAUGGCGCCACCGCCGGAGGCACUGUAGCUGGCCGGUGCCCCCUCUCUCCCUUCCCAGCUUCUAAUCUGAGCCAUUCGAUCCAAGAUCAACGGCUCCUAUUAAAUCGUACCCCUUCGGCUGGACAAUUUCUUAAAGGGACCCCGCAGUUUUCAAGUAUAAAACCUAUGGUCCAAAGCACAUUUUAUGAAAUACGCCUUCUCAUUUUGGAAAACGUAUUCUAUUCCGGUUUAAUCCAAAAUACGUUUUCAAGAAUUACAAAAUUGCCACUGAGCUUGUUUUGGCUAUAAAUUAUUCAUUCUUACUCCGAUUUGACCCAUUCAAAUUGCGUUAGGUUAUUUUCAUGGGCUCUAUAUGUUAGUAACACUGUUUUCUCAGAUUGAAACCUUUUAAUUUUGUGAUCCUAUUUAAUUAAUUACUUUUUCUAUAUAAAAUCUUAGAAAAUUCAUAUCUUCUCUGUUUUAGCUAUGAUUUUCGUGAUCUUUACGUCUAUGAAAUCGUAGCGAUACGUAGAAUCAUUUUACAAACUUUUCAUACUGUUUUUUAUAUGAUUGGUGUACUAUUCUAAUUGUAGCCUUGUUUGUUUCGUGUAUGUUGUCUCCGUUCAUUUGUGUGUUGAUGAUCGAUGAUCGAGUUUAGACGGAGAGCAGUUUUUGGUGAUUAAGAUCAGAGCUUUGGUAACAAGUAAGACCAGCAAAGUUAGCAAGAUCAGCAAGAGCAAUUGGAUCAAGGCAAGUAUAUCUUGGGACUAUCCUUGUUAUCUAUACACAAUUAAUACAAUAUAUCAUAUGCAUGUAUCCACCUUGAUAACCUUAGCAAAAUCAUAGAUGCUUGUUAUAUUGAAUUCCUUGAUACCUAUUUGGAUAUGCAUUUGGGUAGUUCUUGAUAGAGCUUGAUUAUAAUCCAUGAUCUUGUAACAUGAAUAUUUGGAUAUAAAAUAAACAAUAAAAUAAGCUUUCUAGCAACUUAAACAUAAAGGGUGGAAAGAACUCUGGCUUUUACAGGAUUGAUCUUGACCCUCCAUAAGGACUUAUCCCUUAGCAAAAGCUGGGACAACUCGUACAGCCAUGAGGGCUAUAUGGCUCUGGCUUUAGUCAAGUAUGAGUAACUUUUCUAGCUCGUUAGCGCUUAUCCGUGUGGCGCAAUUGGGGAAUAGCAGACCGUGGAUUCCUGUGUGUGGAUCACAUGGACUGACUAAUGAAACCAAGCGGUCCUAACUUGUUAGACGAACCUUUGAAAGACUUCAUAGUGAUCCCUACCGACCUUCCUUGGUAGUGGGUUAAGAGGCUGAUCACCUCAGGUGAAAGGGUAAAUCAUGACUCAUGGGUAAAGAUGUACAACCUCUGCAGAGUGUUAUAUCUGAUAUACUAGCCGUGCCCACGAAUACGGGUGGCCCGGAAAACUGACGGAAUGGAUGGACACUAAUGAACAUGAUUAAUGAUGAUAAAUUAUGGUUUAUUAUGUUGUUUAUAUGUAUUAUUUUUAAAUUCUUGUAUACAUUGAUCAUGUGGUUAUGGGAUUAAUUAUGCUACCUUGAUAUUUGCUAUCCAAUGAUUAAAUAUGCUAUCUACAUAUAAAAGCUAAACGCAGUCAAACCAGUGUCACCUAAUUAAGCCUCAUGAACCCCUAGUUAUACUUGUUGAGUACGAUAUGUGCUCACUCUUGCUAUUUUGCCCAUACUUCAGGAGGAGUGUUAGCCUUGUGAUCAACCAGUCAGUUUGGAUCCUGUAGAGUGGAGUUAAUACCCGAAGUUUGGAGUUGUCUAUCUGCUGUUUGCUAUCAAAGGUUAUCUGUUUUAUACUAAGUAUGAUAUAUAUUUAUGCAUUGUCUUUUGAUAUUGUGGACACUUGCUAACACCACUUGAAUACUAGGUUGUCAUCCCCAGCAUGGCACUAGAGUGUACUAUGGUAUUUAUACGCACACAGAUAAAUCCGCAAGCGCACGGAUACCAUUGUAGCUUUUACCCGGUUAAAGGUUUUAUCGUAUCCACAGGGAAACGGUAGAACCAACUACGCUCUAACUUAACCAAGAUAGAUAGAUAGGUGUAAAUAGGAAAGAUGGUAGAAUUGAAAAAGAACAAUAUUUAAGGUAAGAUAACAAUGGGUGAUAAUAUGGGAAUAGAGAGUAGAGCAAUCUAGUAUAUGGGCGAUGGUAGGAGAAUAGAGAGGAUAACUAUGGUUUCUCUACUUCAAAGGGGUAUGUCUAUGUCUGGGACGAACCACGUGAUAAGAAUACACCACAAAGGAUGCUUAUCCAUAGGUCGAUAAACCCUACCAGUCCUGCUAUCGGGAGGUGGACUAGAAGGGGCCAACGUAACUGUCACCUACGCGGCCUACCACACGAUCCCGCUAGACAGGGGAUAUCCACACGUAAUCUAGGUCUAAGCACCACGCUUACACCUAUACUACAACUCUCACCUAUAGCGUCCUAUAGAUUAAAGUACUCAAAAGAGUUGUGAACCAGAACAUACAUGGAUAGUAAUUGCAUAAUGAAAUAAGAAGUAGAUUACCAGAGUCAUCCCAUGAGCAAGCUUGACUAGAGCUUGAUCAUGGCGAAGUACAACCAGAGGAAGAACCGACAGACCGGCCUCUCCUCCAAUCCUCCCUCGCUCUCCAUCUCGCUACUAUCUAGAUCUACUCUAGUUUAGAUAAGAGAGGAGAGCUCUCAUCUCCAAACCCUAGCUUUUGCUAUGUCUAUGAAUAAUAAAUAGGGAUGAAGGGGUGUGUCUCCUCUAGGGGCCAAGGGGUCUGCUUAUAUAGUCCUUCCAAGUGAAUAUGGGCCAUCGGAUCAAACCGACAUUAGUCACACGGUUUUCCUUGAUCCUUUAGGUCAGUGGAGCAUGAUCCACGAGAUUGAACGUGAUUGGUGGAAAAAGCAGGGUGGGCGCCCUGUCCCCGAGCCCGCUCGGCUUCCCGUUCGUUCCCGUGGCUUCUGGAGUCUUCUAGAUGAUAGAAAAUUGUGCGACACGUUAAUAUCUCUAUGUAAACCUGACAUGUGGGCCUUUCCUCCAUAUUUCCUGAUAACCCCCUGCAGAAAUAGACAAACACCAAAACUCGUGGAAUUCUGUCAGAUAAAACUCUAAGUCUGGGUGUUGGUUGCAUUUGGAUCCUUUUCUUUAUUUAUUUGAUGAUUAUAUUUAGUACAUAAGGACCGUCAACAACUCCUCCAAGCUUACCUCUUGCUCGUCCAUGAGCAAGGAUGGACUCAAGAGUUUCUGCAGUGGUUUUAUGCCUUAAAGGUACACAUGCGUUUAAAUAAGAUCUCAUCUCUGGGUUAGGGUAAACUGUUAAGAUUUAAACUUACUCAUUUUUCUUUCCACCAUGGGGCUUGCAACUGCCACUUGUGUCUUGAGCAGUUAAAAGAUAGAACGGUCAAGUCAAGCGCCAUGUCUCUUGUUCUUUGAUCAACUAUAGCUCUGGAGUUUUUGUAGAUUUUCAAAAUAAAACUCAGAGAUUCCUUGUAUGACUCUCUCAAUUCUCUCUUUUGUGGUAUUUCUGGAUCCUUACCAAGGCAGUAAUGGUGUAUGCCUUCUCUCAAAGUAUGUAGUAUUUUUGGUAUGAGGCAUAGUGACAUUGCUUUCUCUCUCACCCUAUUCUAAUAAGGUUUUGAUAUGUGGAGCUCAUAGGUGGGAGACGACUAAUACAUACUUACAAGACAUUUAUUGCAUAGUCAAACCAUGGAUCCAGAGAAACAAGCCAAUAAGUCAAAUCAAGAUGUAAAUGUGUGGCGAAUGAAUGGUGUAUGGUGAUGAUGGUGAAGACAAUGGUGAACGUCUAAUUCUACUUUUGCUCUUUUGAGGGGAUACAUACCUUUGUUGCUCUUUGAAACUUUUUGAGGGGAAUGAGAUGCUCUUCUUUUUCUUUUUCUUUCCUCUCAGGUGGGUAUCUUGUACCCCUAAUUCUACUGUCGGACACUUGUCCAUUUUUACCUCUCGUCUCACUUUUUCUUUUCUUCGAGGUUCCGGGCACUUGCCCCUUUUUAUUUCCUCGUAUAUAUUUUUUUAAAAGCACUCACCCUCCUGGAAUAAUGUAGCAAGUGGUAGUAACCAAAAUAUCUCAAGCAUUUAUUUCACUGGGAAAAACAGGAAUGAGAUAAUAUUUUUGGCUAUUCUCUCCCGGAUAGGAGUAGAAUAAUUUUGGGUGAAUCUGAGAUGGAAAUGAGUGGAUGUAUGUGGAUGCGUACUUCCGGAGUAGAAGUAACAUGUAUGAGUGAACGUGCAAGUGAAUCUUGAUUUUAACCGCAUGACAAGCUCCUAAGGGUCUACAUAGCUUGACCACACUCAAUGCUCAUAAGCAGUAAAAAGUAAAUGUAUGGUUCAUAGUCUAAUAAGCAUGUAUAUAUGGCUGUGGUAUGAUUUUAAACUCUCAUCAUACAGGAACUCAUCAUGUAACAUUUUAAAAAAUUUCAAAGAUAAAAUUCUUCAGAAUUCUAGCAUCUCUAGGAACAGAUAAACAGCAGCUCAACCUUCCCAUAUCAUAUCCGUUAACGACUUAGACUUUAGAUCAAGUACUCUUCCCACAAGUUUAGGUUUAGAGCAAAUCUUAAUUCAUAAUAAUCAUGCCUAAACUUGAGAGAGAAUUUAAUUUUGAGAACUAGUCAUGGUAGAGCAACUAUUCAUCAUUUCCAUGUGAGAGCUUAUCAUGAGGGUUCAUAGCAAACUUUAUUUAUUUAUUUAUUUAGCAAACUAAGCAAAGAUAUAUAUAUAUAUAAGCACAAAAAUCUUUAUUUGGGUUUUUAUGAUUAUGCAUCUUUUUAUUAUUUAAGUAAAGUAUAAACGCGAGUAGAAACACUUAGCUGGAUAAAUGGGGGUGCUCUCCCCCAAGCUGGAUUUUGACAUAAUUUCUUUUGAUGCAGCUUGCAGGUGGCAGAGGUGUAUUUGAAUGUCGGCAGCACCCUGACAGCGAUUAGGAUGUCCUCCGUCUGCUAGUCUUCUUUGAUCCUUGAAUUCCAUGGAGCUCAAAUAGAUAACAAAGCUUUGUGGAACUGGUUAAGUGUUAGCAUAAAAUCUCUUUGCCUUUAUCAUAUUGAGCUUCCUCUAUUACUCUCUUUGGUAGGAUCAUAAAUUUAUUUUUAUAUUUUCAUUUCUAUAGGACAGGAAUAUAUUUAUUUUAUUGUUACGCCACCACAGUGAAUGUACUUAUAGAAUAUAUUUAUUUUCACAUGGGCCUUACUAUUUUUAACAUUUUUAUUUUCUUUUCAAGAUAGCAUGAUUAACUAACAAGCCAUUUAUGGAAAGUAAAUAAUUUGAGGGAAAAGGGAAUGUAGAAAGGAUAAAUAUGGAUAACUACUGAUUUUACCUUUCUUCGAGGGUUCAAUGUUUUAAGUCUUCUGAACAAGGCUUCUCACCAUGUUUAUUCUUCAGGUGCGUCAUUUGAUUCACGCGUGGACCUUGACGUCUGCACCUCUUGAUACGGUGUCACCCAUGUUCUUCGUUUGCCCAGUAGUUCAAAGUGCGGCGUUGGCAGCAUCCUGCUCAGUGUGUUUGUGCUCGUAGAUCCAGGUCCUUCACUUGGUAGAGUCUGAGAGUUGAAAAAUCCCCUGUGUUUCUCAAAAUGUGUCCUGCUCAUAGAGACAAGGUAGAGAUCAAGUGCAUAGGUCCUGUUGGUGGAAAACACCAACAGAACCAAAAGUGUAUUUGUUCUUCUCUAACCUUAAGCAUAGUGAGCAAGACAAAUUUGAUGGAUAAUAAGAUCAUGAGUGUAGUAUUUAAAACAUUUGUCAGAUCAGAUUGCUCAACCUUAUGGAAAGAUAAUCUAUCUAUGUAUAUGUCUUUUUCUUUAUAUCUUCUCAAAGAUUGAAUGUGCAACAUUUUAGCUCAUAUGAUUAGGAGUGUGGAAUCAUGGAGGUAGUACUAGGAACAAAGAUUAAAGGACUAAAUAUGCUGAAUCAGUUGGGUUGGUUAACCUAGAGUUGUAAAUCAUACAUGUUUGUCUCUUUUAUUCAUAUGAACGCCAGAACUAAGGAGAAGCUUAUAAAAGUGAUAGUCAAGUACCUUAAGAUGUUACCUUACUUGAAGAGUGAUGGUACAAUAUCACCUUGUGGAAGCUUUCCUUUCUUAGCGGUUGUGCAUCGUGUUCGUGGCACCCUCCAUGCAUCAUCUCUUAUGAGCUACGUCUUCCUUGUGUAACUUGUUAAACUUGAUGUGUCUCUCUCUUUGUCUCCAAUGUGAGUUUAUCUCAGGACUUCCUAGGUCGAUAUUGAAAGUUUUCCUACAGGGGUUAGUCCAACAAAAUAUCCAAUAUCUACUAUAGCAUACUAUCGGCUCAAAAAUCAACCUAGACACCAUGUCUAAUUUGAUUUAGGAGGGCAUUUCAACCUAAGCACCAUGCUUAAUUUUAAAUCCCUUGGAAGUAAGAUCAUCAUUCCUAAACUAAGCACCAUGCUUAAUUAAGAGAUAAAUAAAACUACUCCAAACCUAGACAUAUACUAAAGCAAAUAAAGGUAGCAUGAGAGCAUUUAUAGAGAUCUACUCAAGUGGAGAUGAAGUGGUAUGAUUAGCAUUUAACAAAUUGAGCAUGUCUCAAAGGUAGGGACAACCAACAUAGCAACGUGGCAAAGGAUGUUUUUAUGUAAAGUACUCCCCCAAGCUUGAAUUUUGCAAAAUUCAAGUUUGGAUUUAAUUCAAUGUUGUAUGAUGAUUGGUUGGACAUACCUUGUGCUUGUCAUUCAUCCAAUCUUCUUGCUCCAAUCCUGGAAAGGUUAGUGACAAAAAUACCCAAAGAAAUAUUUUUUUACAAUUAUCCUUAUAUGCUCAAUACACAAGGUAAUGUUGUAAAUAAUUAAAAGCUCAUGUUACGAUCUGAUCAGUGCUUAUUUUAGGACACUAAGCUUGUCCUUGGGAAACCAUCAAAUUAUGUCGGCGAAGUGGUUUCCCUUCCAACGCUGACCCAUAUCAAGAUCAACUCAAUGGGAUCUGCAAUAUUUAUUAUAGACAUAUGCAUCGACAACCGCCCUUUUAAAGUUUUUGUAAAUAGAAAGGAAGAGGGGGUUGGAGAUCUCAAAUGUGGUGAUGUUGGAGAGACCAAUAGAUUGGGAAGAUGUUGCAUAUGAGCAUGGAGUAAAUGAAGUGGCUAUGAAAUAAAUUCCAUGCUCAUUAAUGUUAUCUUCGUCUCCAAUUUGAAUGUUCGGAGUUUCUCCUAGAUUGGUCUCACCUAUGUCUUCUUCUAUAGUUGGAUGAAUCUCAUCUUCAAAGGGAGUCAAGAACUCACCAUUUGAAAUUGAGCCAAAGUCAGAAUCCAUUAAGGCUUCUUCCUUAUCCAUCCAUUCUACACAUCUAGCCAUUUAGAACUUGUGAUCGGGAAAGGGGAGGUGUUAGAAUUUUCUAUAUGGCUUAGCUCUCCUUCUAUGACAUUACUUGACAUGUCAUCCUCAUGGUCUUUAUGACUCCUAUGGUUUGAUCGUCUUGAUGAUUGUUAGGAUCAUCAUGAGACUUAAAAGGAGAGGGAUAAGAGGGGUCUCUAAGAUCAAGGAUGGAUUUAGAAUUUGUGAACAUGGAAGGGGAGCAGAUAGAAUCUUCUAUAUGGUUUAGCUCUCCUUCACUUGAUAUGUCAUCCUUCACUUCUUCAUAACAGGAACCAGGACAUUCUCUAAGAGAACCAUUAUUGCAAGGAUUUGAAUUAUCCCUGCUUGAAGGUCUCUUAUGGAACCAGAAUCUAAACCAUCAGCAUCUCAAAGAUUUAAGGUCGAAAUUCCUUCCUCCCUUGGAUAAUUUUUUAGUAUUGAUGGUUUAGGAUCGAUAGCUAAAGUUUGGGAUUGAAGUGGUUGUGAUCUGGCUAUCGAAACUUCUUCUUCUUGUCUAGGAACUAGUUCUUUCUCUUUCUCAGGGAUAUAAAUGCUAGCAGACUUUCUGCUCAUUAAAUCAAUCAAAUUCCAAGCUUCACUAGCAGGUAGGUGAUAGAAGGAUCCUCUAGAGGCUGUAUUCAAGGUUUGCUUAUUUUCCCUACUAAGGCCCUCAAAAAAGUGAAUUAGAAGAACUUCUUCUGGAAUAGAAAGCUUUGGGCCAGUGAGAGUAAGGUUAAUAAAGCGGUCCCAUGAUUUGCCAAGAGAUUCUUCUUCCAGUUGUCUAAAAGAAAGAAUCUCACGCCGAGUUCCACCACUUUGGAGAUUGGAAAAUAUUUAAAAAGAAAACUAUUAUAUAACUCCUUCCAUUCUCCAUGAGCACUCCCUACUUUGAGUUUGUACCAAUGUCUAGCUUUUCUUGUUAAAGAGAACGGAAAGAGCUUCCAUUUAAGGGUCUCAUCGCACAUGCCUUCUAUGCGAAGGAGGUCACAGACUCGAUAAAACUCUCUUAGGUGUGUGUAUGGGUUUUUCUCACCUUCUCUUGAGAAAGGUUGCUUUUGAACAAAUUCUAUGUAUUCUGGGUCUAUCUCAAAACUAGAUGCUAUGAUAGGCUUUGAAGAUUUUGAUGGUUCGAGAUGUGUGCCCGUAGGUCUAUGAAACUGAUUGUAACACCCUAAAUUUUGCUUCUUUGAAAAUAAAGCUAAAAUUAUUUAUUUUGUAUUUAUGUGCUUAUGAAAAUAUAGUAAAAUGAAAAUUUCCUUAAAUUAAAAUUCAUCAUAGGGUUUUUAGCAACGUUGUUGUGCAUACAUGCUGGUACAUAUGUUUUAUGUGAUAUUUGUUUGUUGCUCCUUUGUGUUUUGAGACUAAGCAAAAUUUUUAAAAUUUCGUUUAGUAGAACGAUCUUCGUACAUCUUUAUCUUUAUCUACAACCAAAUUCCUUGUUUCUAAGCUCAAGUUUUUAUUAGGAGCUUCCUAAAAUCUUUUCUUUAUCACUCAAAGCACUUCUUUUAGUUCCUCGUUCAUCAAGCAGUCUCUACAAUCUUUGUAGGAAUUUUCCAGCUUCCGUUCUCACUUUUCUGUAAGCAUAAUCUAAUUUUUAGAUGCUCCAAAUUAUCUUAUCAUGAGAUACAAAUACUUUAAUUGGUUUUCUCAUGUUCCAUAAUGUCUCCGAGAUUUUUCCUUGAAUUUCUGGAGUAUUUGGAGUAUUUUUCAUGGCUUAAAUCAUAAUUCUGGACUUUUCUAGGAUUAUUUUAUUCGCCAAAUUAAUUAAUUUCGAAAAUAAUAAAAUCUUUUAUUUUAUCCCACGAUCAAGCUCAUGAUCUCAAUGGUCAAUGUCUUUAUUUACUAAUGGGCUUUAAUAGUUAAUUAGGCCUAUGAGUAAAGAUGAAGGUUGCAACAUCAAUUAGUACUAUAUUGCUAAUUGAUGUGGAUGUGAAGAGUUUUUCUCUCUAUAUAUAUGUACCAACUCCUUGGGUUAAGUACACCAAAACUACCAUAUGGAGAGCUUCUAGUUUGGAAAAUCCCUCGUGUAGUAAAAUUAUAUUUUUCUUCUUUUGCCGUCGGGCAGCCAUCGUGGACGCUUCUAUGCCCUGCACAAGUCGGAGCUCCCUGCCGUGACCAUAGUUCUAUCUACGGUAGCUACCUCUCCGGCCGUCGUCCGUCUCCGUUGGUGAGAAAUCCAGUCAUAAGCAGACCCUGGUCAUCACGCCGCCGCCAUCCAGAUCAAUCUAUACUAGGCGACUUCUUUACGUGAAGUCCAUGUUAUCAGUGAACCAGUGAAUCCAAGGUGCAGUUGGGUCGACGGUGCUGCGUGGUUGUGUUGUCGUCGAGUUCAGAUUGGAGAUGGAAAUUUCGCCAGACCAAAUCUCUGGUGCUGCCCUGUUCCCUGACAGAGACACUGCCGUGCUGUCGGAUCAUUGGAGGCCUCUCGUCGUUCCUGUUGCUAGUUGUUGCUGAGCACGUGAAUCAGGGAAGGAGUCAAAGCUUGUUGCCGUGGGUGUAGUGACUUGGUGAACUUUGCUACAUGAGCCAGCAAGUAAGCGUCGUCGUCUUGCUUGCCUAUAGAGAGCAGGUGCACAAUCUGUCCUAGACAUUGUCUAUAACUCUUUGCGUAGUUUCCUCGUCUUAGUUCUGUUUUAGUCCAUUCAAAUUAUAUUAGACUCAUAGCAAUACAAUCUACGUUUUAAUAGUAUUGUUAAAUAUGUUGUUGAGCACUAUAAAAUAAUUAUUAACUUGAUUAAUGUUCAUGUAACUAGUUUUAUUAAUAAAAUUAACAUAGGAGUUACACUUUGAUAUUUUAUAUGUAAAUAUUAGAAUAAUUUAAUUGCGAUCACUAAUGCAUCUUUAAAUUAUAAAUUGUUUAGCUGAACUCCGGACAUAUCCAGUUAUAGUAGAUGCCCUCACAUUUUAAUUUCUCUUACGAGGUAUAGUUUGAAUAACCUGAAUUAGUAAGUUCCACAUGGUCUUUCUUAAUUAAAACAUAUGAGCUAUUCUCUUUUAUACAAUAUAAAAGUUUUAGUAGUAGUUUCUUUUUCAUCGUGGCUCCGAUUAGAGUGCUUUUCACAUCUCUCUGUGCUCCUAGGAAUGUGUAGAUUAGUUUUCAAACCUUUUCAUUGAUUGGUGUACUGUUCUAAUUAUAGCCUUGUUUGCUUCGUGUAUGUUGUCUCCGUUGUUUGUGUGUUAAUGAUCGAUGAUCGAGUUUAGUCGGUGAACAAUUCGUGGUGAACAAGAGUACUUCAGUGAUCAAGAUCUGAGCCUUGGACAACUAGUGAGACCAGCAGGAUAAGCAAGAGUAAUUGGAUUAAGGCAAGUAUAGCAUUUGGAUUUUAUUUCUGUGACCAUGAUCCUGUGACUAGAUUAAUGUUAAGUAAUAAAUAAUAAAAAUGACUUUUUAACAACUUGAUGAUUUAUCUGUACGUGAUCACCCGGGACAACAGUGCAACCAUGAGGGCUAUAAUGGCUCUGGCUUUAGCUCAGUAUGAGGACCUUUUUUCUAGCUUGUUAGCGGUUACCUUAAAUGGCGUAAGAACGGCUAGACACGUUGGGUAUAGUGUGGCCUCUAUCCGUGUGUAUAGGCCGUGGGUUAUGUGCCAUGGAAGGGGGGCUCUAUAUCUGCCUGCCGAGUGAAUCUAAUGGCCCUAACUUGUUAGACGAAACCUUUGAAAGGCUUCAUAGUGAUCCCUGCCGACCUUCCUUGGAAGUGGGUUAAGAGGCUGAUCACCUCGGGCGAAAGGGUAAAUCAUGACUCAUGGGUAAAGAUGUACAACCUUUGCAGAGUGUUAAAACUAGUAUACUAGCCGAGCUCACGGUCAGGAGCGGCCUUGGGGACAUCUACAUUAAGGGUGAUGAAUCUUGUGUGUUAAAUAUGCUCAUUGUUUAUUAUUUAAUGCUUUACAUUAUUUAUGUCACAUUGAUCAUAGUUUCUAUACUUGUUGAGUUCGACAUGGACUCACUCUUGCUAUUUCCCCCAUACAUCACGAGGAGUGUUAGGCUUGUGAUCAACCAGUCAGUUGGAUCCUGUAGAGUGGAGUUAAUACCCGAAGUUGGAGUUAUCUAUCCGCUGUUUGCUAAUAAAGGUUAUCUCUUUUAUAUUAUGUACGUUAUAUAAUUUAUGCAUUGUCCUUUGAUAUUACCCCUUAUUUGUAGCUAUAUGUGAGAUUUGACUUCUAAAACUCACAUAUGGUGCAUAUCUGAUUUUGUCCUUAAAAUCAGGUAUUACACUGAUAGAUAGACAUGUUUGCAUUCAUGAUAGACCAGAAAUCAAGGAUUAGAUAAGAAAGAAUAGCAGAGAUGAGGCAAAGGAUAAAAGGAAAAUAUAUUAUUUUUUAUUAUUUUUUUAUUUCUAGAAAAAUGAUUAAGCUAGUUCGUAGUCAACUCAGCAACUGUCUCCCCGGCAACGGCGCCAAAAAUGCUUGUUGACACUUGCUAACACCACUUGAAUACUAGGUUGUCAUCCCCAGCAUGGCACUAGAGUGUACUAUGGUAUUUAUACGCACACAGAUAAAUCCGGAAGCGCACGGAUACCGUUGUAGCUUUUACCCGGUUAAAGGUUUUAUCGUAUCCACAGGGAAACGGGAGAACCAACUAUGUUCUAACUUAACCAAGAUAGAUAGAUAGGUGUAAAUAGGAAAGAUGGUAGAAUUGAAUAAGAACAAUAUUAAAGGUAAGAUAACAAUGCGUGAUAAUAUGGGAAUAGAGAGUAGAGCAAUCUAGUAUAUGGGCGAUGGUAGGAGAAUAGAGAGGAUAACUAUGGUUUCUCUACUUCAAAGGGGUAUGUCUAUGUCUGGGACGAACCACGUGAUAAGAAUACACCACAAAGGAUGCUUAUCCAUAGGCCGAUAAACCCUACCAGUCCUGCUAACGGGAGGUGGACUACAACGGACCAACGUAAGUGUCACCUACGCGGCCUACCACAUGAUCCAGCUAGACAGGGGAUAUCCACAAAUAAUCUAGGUCUAAGUACCACGCUUACACCUAUACUACAACUCUCACCUAUAGCGUCCUAUAGAUUAAAGUACUCAAAAGAGUUGUGAACCAGAACAUACAUGGAUAGUAAUUGCAUAAUGAAAUAAGAAGUAGAUUACCAGAAUCAUCCCAUGAGCAAGCUUGAUUAGAGCUUGAUCAUAGCAAAGUACAACCGGAGGAAGAACCGACAGGCCGACCUCUCCUCCAAUCCUCCCUCGCUCUCCAUCUCGCUACUAUCUAGAUCUACUCUAGUUUAGAGAAGAGAGGAGAGCUCUCAUCCCUAAACCCUAGCUUUUGCUCUGUCUAUGAAUAAUGAAUAGGGAUGAAGGGGUGUGUCUCCUCCAGGGGCCAGGGGGUCUCCUUAUAUAGUCCUUCCAAGUGAAUAUGGGCUGUCGGAUCAAACCGAUAUUAAUCGCACGGUUUUCCUUGAUCCUUUAGGUCGGUGGAGCAUGAUCCACGAGAUUGAACGUGAUUGGUGGAAAAAGCAGGGUGGGCGCCCUGUCCCCGAGCCUGCUCGGCUUCCCGCUCGUUCACGUGGCUUCUGGAGUCUUCUAGAUGAUAGAAAAUUGCGCGGCACGUUAAUAUCUCUAUGUAAACCCGACAUGUGGGCCUUUCCUCCAUAUUUCCUGAUAACCCCCUGCAGAAAUAGACAAACACCAAAACUCGUGGAAUUCUGUCAGAUAAAACCCUAAGUCUGGGUGUUGGUUGCAUUUGGAUCCUUUUCUUUAUUUAAUUGAUGAUUAUAUUUAGUACUUAAGGACCGUCAACAGAUAUUACCCCUUAUUUGUAGCUAUAUGUGAGAUUUGGCUUCUAAAACUCACAUAUGGUGCAUAUCUGGUUUUGUCCUUAAAAUAGGUUAUUACAUCAUGCCUCCUUUCCAAGAAUCUAGCUUUUUACUAUUUUUUCUACCAAAGUCAGCUGGUCAAUAACAUGUAAUGUACUUGGGCUAAUAGGAACACCAAGAUACUUAAUAGGAAAAAUACCAGUUUGACAGUUGAAAAUUUCAGCAUAGACACUAGCCCAAUUAUUAUUAUCAUUUAUAAUCAGCACUUCACUUUUAUAGAAAUUAAUCUUGAGUCCAGCCAUCAAUUCAUACAUAUAUAAAAGCAACUUCACAUUUCUGGCUCCCUUAAGAUUAUGUUUAAGACAAAUUAUAGUAUCAUCGGGAUAUUGUAACACAGCUACACCUUUAUCCACAAUACGAUCUAUCAAGCCUGUAAAAAGAUUGUUUAAUUGAGCUUUGUGAAUCAUUCAAGAUAGACCAUCAGCCAAAAAAUUGAACAAGAUUGGUGAUAGAGGAUCACCUGUCUCACCCCUUUAAAGCUUUAUAAGGACUAGUUAAAUUGUUCAAUUUGACACUAACAGUCCCCACAGACUACUUGUUCAAUCCACUUGCACCAUUUAGCACAAAAACCUUGAGCAAGUAAACAACUAAACAAAAAAUUCCACUUGACCUUAUCAUAUGUUUUUUUUUCAAAGUCUAAUUUAAGAAUAACCCAAAUUUGAUUCCUCAUCUUGGCCUCAUGAAGUAUUUCAUAUAACACUAUAACCCCAUUCAUAAUAUUUGUCCCCUUCAUGAAAGGUUUUUGAUUAGGAUGAAUGAGCUUGUCUGCCACUCUUUCCAAGUCUCGAAGUCAAUGUUUUUGUGAUGAGUUUGUAUAAACAGUUCAAAAGACAAAUGGGUCUAAAUUGUUGAAUUUUAGAAGCAUCAGUAAUUUUGGGUAAAAGGGUAUAAUACCAUAAUUGAUUCUACUAAUAUCAAUUUUUUCUUCAUAAAAAUCACUGAAUAGCUGAAUUAUGUCAUCUUUAACAAUAUUCCAACAAGUUUGGUAGAACUCAAUAGGUAUCUUAUCAGAACCAACUUAUUUAUUUUUUUCCAUCUGAAACAAGGCUUAUUUAAUGUCUGCCUCAAAAAAGGGUGUAGUCAAAGUUAUAUUGUCUUCACUAGAAACCUUUUCCAACUCAUCCCAUAAGCUAUUGUCAAUGUGAAUAUUAUGCUCCUCAGCAGGACCAAAAAGAUCAGCAUAAUACUCAGCUGCAUGUUUAAAAAGAUUUUCAUUACCCUCAAUCACAAUUCCAUCACUCUCUAAGAAUAAAACUAAACUUUUCCUUUUCCUGCCAUUAGCAAUACUAUGAAAGUAUUUAGUAUUACUAUCACCUUUAAGCAACCAUUGCUCAUGACAUCUCUUUACCCAAUAAGUUUUCUCUUGGUCCAGUAGUUGUAAGGAUUCCUUAACCCACCAAACCUUCCUAAUCAUCUGCUCAUGAGUGAGAUCAUUAAUCUCCUCAAUAACUUCCAACUCAGAUAAUUCUUCACUAAUCAUUUUUAUCCUUUUUCUCAACUCCCCUUGUAAGUUGAAACCCCAACCUUUGAAAUAUUGUUUCAAUAACUUCAGUUUUUGUUGUAUUCUAUCCAAAGAAGUUCUAGCAUUAUACUGUUUUGACCAAAUUUUUUCAACUGUCACUAAAAAAUUAGAAUUAUCCAACCAGUUAAGCUCAAAUCUGAACUGUAAAAAUUUCAAAGGUUUAUGAUAAUCAAAAGUUAUUAUUAAAGGAUUAUGAUCAGAAAUUUCUCUAGGGAGUCUCUUAACCAUAACAGUUGGAAAAAUAUUUUCCCAAUCUUUAGAAACCAAAAUCCUAUCAAAUUUUUCAAGAGUAGGGUCCUCUUAUUUAUUAGACCAAGUAUAAAGACCUCCGGUCAUGACAAUUUCUUUAAGCUCAUAGAAACCAAUCAGAGAGUUAAAGAGGUUUGAAAACUUAGUUAAACCAUGAGGUUUAUUCCUUUCAUUAGCAUAUCUAAGGAUGUUGAAAUCACCACCUAUCAAAAUGGGGUUGGAAUUUUGAGAGCAAAAAGAAGAAAGUUCAGAAAGGAACUCCAUCUUUUAUCAUCAUGUGCAGCUCCAUAAACUAUCAGCAGAUUCCACUUCACUUUAUUACUUUUAUCCCACAAAUUCAUUUGAAGCAUGAAGUCACCCUGUUGAAAAGAUCCAACAUCAUAAAAUUCAUUUCUCACUCCCACUAGAAUACCACCAUAUAUUCCUUUAGAAGGAUUGUAUAGGCACAAAUAAUCCUUAUUUGAAUCAAACUUCCUAAGAACCUUUUCAUCACAUUCUUUAGUCAUAGUUUAUUGCAAUUCAAUAAAAUGAAAACAAUUUUGAAAUAUCAAAUCUUUAAGAAAGGUAGAUACCUCUUUUUUCCUAAGACCUUGACAGUUCCAAAUUAAACCAUUGAAACUCAUGAUUUAAAUUUAUUUGGAUUUUGUGGGACAUAACCUUACUAGAUUUCCCUCUUCUUUUCUUUAGAUCACCAGGAUUUUCAUGUGUGAUUUUCUUACUAUUUUGAGAAGUAGGGAGCAUUAAACUUUUUCUACUUUCUCUUUUUUUCUUCCCUGAUUCACCAACAAUAAAAUCUUCUGAUUCAGAAGAUUCCUCAUGAAUCCACUCAAUAGCUAAAGGAACAUUAUCCUCUUGAGUCCCCUUAACUGAUUUAGUUUGAGGUUUUUGAUUUUUCAGCAUUUGCUUUUGAUACAGAUCAUCCCUAGUUUUCUCUAGAUCUCUUACUAGAUUAAAAGUAUCAAAAUUAUUAUCCUCAACCACAAAUCCCAUACAAGAGGUAAUAUGAACAAUAUUGUCAUCUAGUAAUGCAGAAAAGGAGUUAUGAUUAGAAGAACUACCUCAAGAUUUGUUUUUUGAGCAUUCCUCUCCACCUCAUCCACAUUUGUUAGAGGUGUAUCUUUCUUAAGCCGUUCACUUCUUCUUCUCUCUUGUACUUGAUUUGUUUCCUCAGAAUGCAACACAGAAUUAGAUUGAGGAGGAUCUUUAUCCCUCUGAGUACUACCAUCAACAUCCAUAUUCUCACUAUCUUGAGUGUUUAUAAUGUUAUCAUCAGAUAGGAAGAUUUUAGGAGAAUGUGUGCUGACAGUUGCACUCACACCUUCUUUUGUAUUAUCAUCAUAAAUCUUGUCAGCUAUCGUAUCAUGUGACAUAUCUUUGACAACAACAUCUGAGGUCUCACUCAUAAACCAUAUCUGCUUUGAAUUGUCCUCUUGUUCAUUUUUUGAAGUUUGACCACCCAUACCCGCCAAUAGACUCAAAUUCAAUCUGUUUGGCAUUAGCAUUACCAUUGGCCACCUUAAUAACAGUAGUACUAGCUUUUUCCAUAGCCACCCUAGGAUCAAUACACUCCUCAAUAAAGAAAAAAUAUUGUUCUUCUACUUGAGUAGGACACAAUUCAGGACCAUAAUUCCAGGGGAGGCAUCUUUAUAGUCAUAAGUAUUAUGACUGGUAAAGCCACAAAUCUCACACAACAUCCUAUGACAAUCUUGUGUAACAUUAUUAAAGAGACCACAAGACUCACAAGCAGCAUUCAUAGAUUUUCCCAUAGACUGAGAAGAUUCUAGGAUAUCAAGGGAUUGCACCUUACUUUCUUUUUUUGGAGCCUCCUCCUUUGUCACAUCAACAGCUUUAGGAUUCUCCUGCACUUGCUUGUCCCCACUAAGAGUACUCUUUCCUUCCCAUCUAUCUUUGAUUUCAUCUAAAUCUUGGGCUUGACUGUCCUCAGUAGCAAAGUUAUCUUCAUUCUUCUCUUCAUUACCAGCUCCCUCAUCUUUUUGCUUCCACGAAUUUAUCCUCCCCCAAAUCUAUUGUUACCUUGACCAUAUCCUAGACCAAAUCUUUCGUGUUCCUAAAUGAACCCACCACGCCCUUGUCCAUAGCCACCAUGCUCAAGACCAAAUUCACCUUGGCCUUGCCCAAAUCUAGCAUGACCAUAGCCAAAACCUCCACGGCCUUAACCAAAACAACCUCUCCCUGAGCCAGAUCCACCUUGCCUACCUCCUCCCGUGGCUGCAUCUCAACCACGACAGUGGGAGCCGGAUUGGCUCGCACCACCGCAGCAAACGAUCGAGGUUUAGCCCCCCUCCACAAGUGACCCAUGAAUCUGUAAGAUUUGUAUUAGAAGAAGCAACGGAUUUAGGGUUUGAUGUAUUUGGGAGAUCCCCUCUGACUCGGAUGGGGCUUAUAGGAUCUAGAAGCAGCGAGUGUUGAUAUUUGGUAACGCCAUCAGGAAAUGAUCCGCAAGCGCACGGAUAUCGGUGAGUAUUUCACCCGAGAGGUUAUCCAGAGUAUCGUAUUUAUAUUUUUACCACUGGGAGAAAGCGUGCAUCUAACUAACCAAAUCUAUUGCGACUACCCUUUAGGCUACAAAGAAUGUGACUCGAUGUGAGCGAUGUAUAGAGAAGACUGCAACCGUAGUCUCGUUCUAACCUUGGUAAGGAUGAUCUACUGUUCUAUUGGGGAAGCUUACGAAAUCUAGACACCACAAAGGAUGUUCGACCUACACCUAUAAACCCUACCCUUCUCGCUAACGAGAUGUGGGAUGCAAAGGUAACUCGGAAAUGUCACGUUCCUCGCUACUACAACGGUCCAGCUAGUCAGGGGAUAUCUAUGAGUACCCUAGCCCAAACACCACGUUUACGCUAGCAAUGAUUACUCUAAACUCAACCGGAAGAGAUUAAAGUAAACUCAUAAACCAAAGAACAUUAAAACAAGAACUUACUAGAAUUUAGAAGUCGAAUUACUGAAGAAUCCUAGGAGCAAGCCUCAGGUUAGGAGAACUUGAUCCCGCAGGUGCAACCUCAGAGUAGACACCGACAGGCCGGGCUUCCUCCGAUCUACACCUCCACUCUAUCUCUCUCAAUCUAGUAGAACUUAGAAAAAACUAAUUCUAUACUCUCAUUAGAUGCUAAGCCCUAAGUCUAUUUAGAGGAGAGGUUAUCCUUCGAGGGCUCCUCUCAACUCUAUGAUGAACUUGUUCUCCUCCAGGGGCUAGGGGGUCUGGUUAUAGAGUCCUUUCAAGUGAAUAUGGGCCGUUGGAUCAAACCAACAUUGAUUGAACGGUUAUCCUUGAUCCUUUAGGUCGGUGGAGCGUAAUCCCCAAAACAAGUCCUGAUUGGACUCUGGGACAGGGCGGGUGCCCUAGGGGGGAGGUCGGGCGCCCUGCCCCCGGGCCCGUUCGCCUUCCCGUUCGUUCCCGUGGCUUCUGGAGUGUUCUAGAUGACAGAAAAUUGCAUGGCACGUUAAUAUCUCUAUGUAAACCCGACGUGUGGGCCUUUCUUCUAUAUUUCCUGAUAACCCCCUAUAGAAAUAGCCAAACACCAAAACUCGUGGAAUUCUGUCAGAUAAAACCCUAAGUAUGGGUGUUGGUUGCAUUCGGAUCCUUUUCUUUAUUUAUUUGAUGAUUAUAUUUGGUACUUAAGGACCGUCAACAACUCCCCCAAGCUUACCUCUUGCUCGGCCCUGAGCAAGGAUGAACUCAAGAGUUUCUGCAGUGGUUUCAUGCCUUAAAAGUAAGAUCUCAUCUCUGAGUUAGUGUAAACUGUUAAGACUUAAAACUUACUCAUUUUACCUUUCACCAUGGGGCUUGUAACCGUCACUUGUGAAUUGAGCAGUUAAAAGAUAGAACGGUCAAGUUAAGUGCCAUGUCUCUUAUUCUUGAUCAGUUAUAGCUCUGGAGUUUUUGCAGAUUUUUCAAAUAAAACUCAGAGAUUCCUUAUAUGACUCUCUCAAAUCUCUCUUUUGUGGUAUUUUUGGAUCCUUUCUAAGGCAGUAAUGGUGUAUGCCUUCUCUCAAAGUAUGUGGUAUUUUUUGGUAUGAGGCAUAGUGAUAUUGCCUUCUCUCUCAUCCAACUCUAAUAAGGUUUUGAUAUCUUGAGCUCAUAGGUGGGAGACAGCUAAUACAUACUUACAAGACAUUUAUUACAUAGUCAAACCAUGGAUCCAGAGAAACAAGUCAAUAAGUCAAAUCAAGAUGUGCAUGUGUGUG
RNAcentral lists this long non-coding RNA (63964 nucleotides) under Sorghum bicolor (sorghum). Its description in RNAcentral is "long non-coding RNA (SBIC_LNC016479)". Lineage: Eukaryota; Viridiplantae; Streptophyta; Magnoliopsida; Poales; Poaceae. The record is from RNAcentral.